This 52115-nucleotide long non-coding RNA is filed under the name Ananas comosus (pineapple). Its description in RNAcentral is "long non-coding RNA (ACOM_LNC014569)". The record is from RNAcentral. Lineage: Eukaryota; Viridiplantae; Streptophyta; Magnoliopsida; Poales; Bromeliaceae.
AUAUAUAUAUAUGGGCCAUGGCUACUAAACUAUUAUGAGUAUUGAAGCCUUCAUACUCAUAAGUUGUUUUCGAGAUGGGGCUUCCGAAUCGACGAUCCACUCCGUUAAAUAUGAUCUAGAGUAUUUGAAACUUCUAAAAAAUAAAUUUCGUAGAUUUUCGAAAUCAUAAUAAAGUACAUCAAGUGGGUAUAAAAUAAACGGUCAAAAUCGAACAACGUCUUAAAAAAAGAUGAUCGGAUCCGUCAAUUCAAGAUCGGAGUUAUUGAUCUUUAUCUAUGUAGUGAAUAGAAUUUUCUAUCAAAAAUUCAACAAAUUUCGAUUCUUUUACACAGUUAAAAUAGCAAGUAUUCCAUACCGGCCGUUAAAAAUUGUCAAAUUUGUGACCUCUUGAUCGUAAGGUAAUGAUAUCGAAAAAUUAUAAAAUUUGAUUUCUAAAAAUUUUAAAUGCUGUAAAUAACGUUUAACAGUGUGGAUCGUCGAUUCGGAAGCUCUAUCAUCAAAAACAACUUAUGAGUAUAUAUAUGUAUGUAUAUAUAUGUAUGUAUGUAUAUAUAUAUAUAUAUACAUAUAUAUAUACAUAUAUAUGUAUAUAUAUAUAUGUAUAUANNNNNNNNNNNNNNNNNNNNNNNNNNNNNNNNNNNNNNNNNNNNNNNNNNNNNNNNNNNNNNNNNNNNNNNNNNNNNNNNNNNNNNNNNNNNNNNNNNNNAGAGAGAGAGAGAGAGAGAGAGAGAGAGAGAGAGAGUGAGUGGAGGAGAGAGUUUUUGCUGUCAAGAAUGUAAUGCCGAGUUUGCUCGUCGAACAGUGCUUUCUCAUUGUUGGUGGAUGUAGGAAUAUGCUCCCUCCCGAACAGUAGUCUUUAAUAAUGGAUAUACGACGAUGUUUGUAAACAGUAAGUCUUUUAAUGAUGGAUGUACGAAAAUGAUUCUGAUGUACGAAGAUGCUUCUAAAUAGUAAAUUUUUUAAUAAUAAAUGUAGAGAAAGAGAGAGAGAGGGCCCUCUACUUUAAUUGCACCUAUCCUUCGCCCACAAAUCAUGUGCGCUAAUAACACUUCCCAAUUAAAUUCCGCGAGUUCCAAUAAAGCGAGGUCUCCACAAUAUUCCAGAACAAUUAAGCAUCUUCCUCGUAUUUGGCUCGAAAUGACCUCGAGAUCGAAUCGCUCGUUUAGUAAAUGAGUCGAACAUGAGCUAAAUUUUUCGGCUCGUUUAAUAAACGAGCUGGGACCAGCUCGCUCGCGUUUGGCUCGAUAACAGCUCGAAUACAUAUAUUUUAUAUUUAUAUAAUUUAUUUUAAUUUAUAUUUAUAUAUAAACAAAUAAUUAUAUAUAUAAUAUAUAUUUUUAUUAUUUAAUUUUUAGCAAAAUAAAAAUAUAAAGGCGAGCUCAAUUAUAAAAAGACUCUUUUAAAUGUAAAGUUUCAACUAUUAGAUCGAAGUCUAAUUGAUAAAAUUUUAUAUAUUUAUUAUAUAUAUAUAUAUAUUCAACCUAAUCUUUUUUAACUUAUUGUUUAUUGGCCAACUAGUGAGCCAGCUCGUAUUCGGCUCAUUUAUUAACGAGCCGAACACGAGCUGAAUUUUUCGACUCGAUAUUUUAACGAGCCAGCUCGUACUCGGCUUCGUUUAUUAAACGAGCCGAACACGAGCCAACCCCAGUUCGCUCAUGUUCGGCUCAUUGACACCCCUACUACUGGUAUACCCCUAUUAGGAAACACGAGCCAGUCCGGGUCGCUGGCGUGCGGCUCGUUUACACCCCUAUCUUCCUACAUGCACUCACAAGCAUCUGUCACAUAUUUCUACCCAGAGCAUCUACUUUACAGCUCAUCGAUCGCUGUAAAGUAGAUUGCAGUUCAUCGAGCAUCUACAUGCGCUACCUUUGUCGUUGAGGUUGAUUGCAGUUCUAACUCAGAGGGCUCUCGAGAGCUCCUCCAACUUCCGCCCCACGGCUAUAAAAAGAGCUACUCCUCAGGCAUUAGAGAUCAUCGAGCGCUUCAAGAGCACUGAGAGCACCACUCAACGAGCAGUGUAUAGUUCUCCCUUGCUCCCCUUCUUUUCUCUGAUCCUCUUGUAAAUUAACCUUUUCUCCCUUAAUUUGUUUGUAAAAAUAUUUACUGAUCGUGUAAAGCCUUCCUCCUUCCUCUUCUCUUCGGGUUCUCCCGGAAGGGAACCCUUUUCUUAUAUCUAUCUAUAGCCAUAUAGAUCUUUAUAUAUGCUUUUUUUUAUUAAUUAAUUAAUAUAUUUCUUGUGUGUUCUUUCAUUCAUGGACCUUUCUUCACUUCACUCCCAAACCUUGAUAGAACCCUCUAUGAGUAGACCUGCAAGUGUAAUUGAUAGAAUAUUUAGAAAUAAAACACCACUAGAUGAUAAUGUUCAAUUAGAUAAAGAUAUUGAACUCUUUAGAAAACAUGGGCUAAAUUUAUUAAAUCCUAGGGUGUUAUAUGGUGAAAAGAAAACAACAGGUAUAACUUCUUUUUUACCAUGUCAUGGUAGAGAGAAAACAACAAGUAGAACUUGUUUUGUCCGACAUUAUAGAGAAGAAACAGUUUCCUGCUUAGAUGAUGGCAAAGCAAUCCUUAAUCUUGUUGACGGAGAAUUUAGAGAAACAUUAGAAAAGCGGAAACUACGUUUCAUGCAUAUUGGUUUGAUAGUUAUCGGAAUAAAAGGAUUAAUCCGUAAACAAUCGGGAACUAAAACAUUGUUAAUGACUUAUGAUGACCGAUUAUGCUAUACUUCCGAUGCAUCUCUAGGAUUAGCAGAAAUAGAUAUGAAUCUUAAUGGAGGAGAAGGUAUAUUUUAUUGUAGUCCAGACUAUCUUAUGGUAACAAAAGAAUUUAUUAAAUGUAUUAAAAUAGGAAUUCAGACAAAAGGCUUUGAAAAUAUGACAGAACCGAAUUUAUUAGUAUGCAUAGGAUAUAUUGGAAAAUUAUCUGAGACAGGUUGGGCAAAUUUUACACUUAAUGUCGAUGGUAUUGUAAACCUCAUAAGUAAUAGAGGCAUCAAAUUGUUAAAACCAUUGGCAAUAAGUUUCGACCAAAAUAUAGGAUUAGAAUGGGAUUUAGAAAAAUUCGGUAAACAUAAAAAAGUAUUAGUACCAACUGACAAAGACCAAAAUGCAGGGUUAGAAUGGGAUUUAGACAAAUUCGUUAAACAUAAUAAAGUAUUAGUGCCAACUAACAAAGUACUUUGUAAAAAUACAGAAAGACGAAACUUGAUAAGAUUCACCGAAGACGAACAAACAUAUGAUAAAAGAGAAGAUUUUCCAUCUAGAAGAGAUUUAAAUCUUCAAACCGAAGAUCAAUCUACUAGCACUAUUAAUAAUGAGUUCAAUCUAGCAAAUAUAGAAUUCUGUCAAGACAACACGAAGAAUUAGAAGAUGACGAGUUAACUCCCGAAGAGAAUUGUUUAAGAGGUCCUUAGACUUACAUGGAUAUAGAAGAAAAGAUAGUACCAAGUAGGGUUUGACACUAUAGUGUUUUUCCUUCUACUUACCUUUUUAGUUUUUUUACUACACAAUGUAAUCCUCACUCACACCUAUUUCUUUACUCUUCCUAUCUCUUCUUAUUUUUGAGUUCCUAAGUACUCUAUUUUCUCUUAUCUUCAUCUUUUGAAAUACACAUAGAUUUCUUCAUUUUACUUGAAGUAAUAGCCUGCAUUUUUACUCCCUUCUUAUAUUUUGUUUCAGACCUCUUUUUAUAUUUCCUCUUCCAGUACCUGUUAGACUAUUUUCUAUUUUUGUAAAAAGAAAAAACAUGCCCUUAUUAAUAUUUUGGUAUCAGAGCCUAAAAUUCUUAUCUUUCUAAUGACUCCAACCACCAUAGAUCCACACAAUUUCCAACACCUCCAAUAUCUAGAUCUUAGAAUCCCUUCAAACUCAAAUCAAAAAAAUUAGAAGAGAGAAUUGCAGCUCUUUCCCUCCAAUCACAAUCACUAUAGUAAGUAACCUCUAUGUCACUCCAGCAAUCUCAGCUAGAGGCACAAGGAUUCGACCACAAGUAAAACCUACUCCACAAGAACCAACUCCUCUGCAGCUCCAAGGCUUCCCAUUACCACUCAUCCCAAUAUUUCCUCAAAUACAAGUUGGCCCACAAGCCACGUAAGCAACCAACCGAAGCAAAACAAAAGGUGACACGUGUACACCGGGAGGCGAAGAGAAGAAGGCCUAAACGGAAUAGCAGUUUAGUGGCCAAUGAGGGUUGGGCCAAAAUAAUAAAAGCCCGAAGCCCACACCAAAAAAAAAAUAAAAAAAAAUAAAAAAAAGAAAUAAAAAAAGAAGGCAGAGGAUUCGAUUCUCUUCUCCUCCACUUGACCGCCAGAUCCAGGCAAUCCCGCCGGGCCGUACGCGAAUCCUGGAGAUCGUGAGGGUACGCCCUUCCCCCCGGUCGGAUCAUGACGAUCCUGUGAAGCCCGCCGAAUCCACCAGAGAUCUGCCCCGUACACAGAUCCCGCGAAUCCCGCGCCCCAAAUCUCACCAGCGCACCGUCUCGUUACUCCGCGCCGCUCGCUGAGCCGGAGAUCCCGCAAAUCCCGCUAUCCCGUACGCAGAUCCCGGAGAUCACGCGUCGGCCGCCGUCAGUCGCGUCAGCGAAUCUCGAGGGCCAUGCUGAAAAUCUCGCCAUUGUCGCCGCUCGCGAGCCCCGUCGACAUCACUGUACACAGAUCCCGCAGAUCUAGCCGCGGAUCACGUCGAGCCAUCUUAUCACCGUCGAUCACCGGUGGAGAUCUGGGGAUUUGGUUCCUCGGAGCCCCUAUAAAACGGCGUCGGGGAGAGACGAGCGAAGGGGGCCCAGGGCAUACAACCCAUCCACACAUACACAGGAAGAGAGAGAGAGAGAGAGAGAGAGAGAGAGAGAGAGAGAAGUAACNCGUCGGCGCUCAACUCGAGGUGCCGCCGCCGUGCCAUCGCUGACGCCGUCCGCUGCCAUGCCCGCCUGUUACGUCGCCCAACGCCGGCCGCUGCUCAACCCGCUAUCACCGCCUGCCGUCGACAUCGCCCAACGCCGCUGCCGUACCCGCUACCGUUGCUCAAGCCGAAGCUGAAACACAACCCCCCACUGCUUCAGAGCAAGAAAGAAGAAGUAAAAGAGAAGAAGGGGUAGAGUUUCCUUAAUUUACUAGCAUUAUAAUGUAUCCAAUAUAAUGUUGUUUUGUUAUCAACAAAAUUCAAAACAAAAUUACUAUGUGUCGUGCUUUGAAUAAAAACAAAAAAAAAAAAAAUGUCUCAUUUGCAGUUAAAUUUUUUUUUUUUAUUGUUAUUAGUAUUAUUAUUUUGAGCUUCUUGAUCGAAGCCUUCUUCUUUUCUUUUUUACAUAAACUUGAUUUUGUGGGGAUUUCAAAAUCAUUCGUGGAAGCCUUAUUAUUUUUUUUAUUUUUUUUAAGGACAUAAAUUAAUCGAGAAUUGGAAACUAUAUUUUGUGCGCAUUUGUUUAUCUUUUCCUUAAGUCAAAAACUACCAAACACUCAUAAGUGUUAUGCAUCAUAUCGUUAUCGGACUAGUGAAGGACCCGUUUGUUGCGGCGAAACGAUUAUGUAGAAAUAAAUAUAUAAAUAAAAUAAAUAAUAGUAAAAAAAAAAGGUCAAAAAAUUGUAUAAAAAAAUAACUAAAAAAUAAACAACUAUUGCUGUAAUAAAAUUAUAAGAAAGAUUAAAAAAAUAAAGACAAAAAUCAUACUAAUAAGAAAUUAUAUAUAAUUAUAUUUAUAAUUAUAUAUAUUAUAAUUAUUAUUAUAAUUAUAUAUAAUUUUUAGAAAAAUUGAUUUAUUGUUCUUACAUUUUNNNNNNNNNNNNNNNNNNNNNNNNNCAGAAAUAAAUAUAUAAAUAAAAUAAAUAAUAGUAAAAAAAAAAGGUCAAAAAAUUGUAUAAAAAAAUAACUAAAAAAUAAACAACUAUUGCUGUAAUAAAAUUAUAAGAAAGAUUAAAAAAAUAAAGACAAAAAUCAUACUAAUAAGAAAUUAUAUAUAAUUAUAUUUAUAAUUAUAUAUAUUAUAAUUAUUAUUAUAAUUAUAUAUAAUUUUUAGAAAAAUUGAUUUAUUGUUCUUACAUUUUGCCUCUAUUCUUCUUUCAUCUAUCUUAUCUUUUUAUUUUUAUUUUUUUUUACUUUUUUUAUGUUUUAUUUUUAAAUUUCCUUCCUUAUUUUUUAUAUAUUUUUAAUAAUUUUUUUAUUCAGCUUAAUUAAAAUUUAUAUUGAAUACAAAUAAUUUAACUUAUUUAAAAAUUAUUUAUAUAUUUUAAAUUUUUAUAAAAAUAAAUAAAAAUUUAGAUUGAAUUAAAAAAAUUUAUAAAUUUUUUUAAUCAUAUAUUAAGAGAACAAAUAUAUAAAAAUAAUUAAAAAGAAAAAGUAGAAAGAGACAAAAAGAGACAAAAAAAAAAAUCCCUUCUCUCUCCCUCUCCUCUUCCCUCAGCUGGGCCCCGCCCUCUCCUCUCCUCUCCUCUCCCGCUCCUCUCCCCGUGCCACGCGGCAGCCCGCCGAGCGCGCCCGCCUGCUGGCGCCCUGCGCGCCCGCCCCACGCGGGCCUGCCUGCCGGCGCCCCGCGCGCCCGCCCCACGCGCGCCCGCCUCUCCCUCUCCUCUCCCUCUCCUCUCCCCGCGCCACGCGGUGCCCCGCCCCACGUGCCCGCCUACCUGCGCAGCCCGCUCGCCCGCGCCACGCGGCGCCCGGCCACGCACGCCCGCCGGCACCUUGACUGAUGAGCAGUAUGCAGAAUGAUCUCUAGUGCGAGUGUGAGCAAUAUCCGACUGCGUAUGACAUGUGGGAGGCUCUUAAAGCAAAAUUUGGUACAACUUCGACUUCAAGGUUGUGCAGUUUGACUAUGCAGUUUGACAGUUAUAAGAAGCGUGCCGAUCAGACUAUGAAACAACACGUGAGAAUAAUGUCAAACAUGAUUCGCGAGUUAAAGUCGGCUGGCGGCACCUUGACUGAUGAGCAACAGAUCCAAGCUAUGAUUCGCUCCUUUCCCAAUUCGUGGGAACAUAUGCGAGUAAAUUUUACCCAUAAUGAAAAUAUCAAAACUUUUGAAGAUGUUGCGCAGUAUCUGGAGUUGGAGGACGAGCGCCUUGAGGCUGUUAAAAUUCCAACUGCCAAUGCUGUUGAGUCAAAUUUUCGCAGGACAUCUGGGUUCAAGCGAAAGAGAACUACUGGGGCUCAAAAUCGUAGCGGAUCCGCGUCUAAGAACCCGAAGAACACUAAAAGAAAGAGAAGCAAACGAGGUGGUAAGAAGGACAAGUCAAAGAUGACUUGUUUCAAUUGUAAUCAUGUCAUGUCCCGAGACCGAUACCAAUUUCGGCCGGCCCAAGCACAUCAAACAGACGCCGAAUGGACAGAGUUUUUCCUGUCCGCCCAAGGCUCAUUACAUGUACAUUUUUAAAAAGAAGUGUACUAGCGGAAACAUACACAAACGGCUUACACGAGGGUAAGCAAUAGCCAUGAAUGAAAGAAAGAAAACUAAACAGCUAUACGAGUACUAUGAUUCUCUUUUGAUCACAUACAUGUAUCCAUUUCAUCCAACUUGCACAUUCAUGAUUCUUUACAUUGCUUGUAUCAUUUCUUUUACAUCAUAUUUGCUCAAAAUAAACAUUACAUUUUUUUCUUUCUUUGCUUUAUACAUCAACAUCUUAAAUCAUCAAAUACAAAAGAUGAUAAAAGGGUAUACUACUAACAAAAUGUAAAGCCCGACUCGGGUGGCCACUGUCUAGGGUGUGAUACCUUUACCGCGGUCGCUCGCCGGCUCGCUCGGUCCCGUCUCUGUGGAAUAGUGGGGUUAGAACUACAACGAAAUUCUAAGUGGGUUCGGCCCCAAUCUCACCGACUUUUCCACUAGGACUAACUCAGGCAUAAUAGAAAGGAUAAGCAGAAUAGUAACCAAACUAUAAUUAUGAUGCUAAUAUGCCUGAACAAUAAAACAGGAAGUAUGCUCAAUGUAAAUCAUGCAAGUAUGCAAGUUCUUUGUUCUUUACUCUUUAUUCUUUAAACUUUGUUCUUUGUUCUUUAAUCUCACGGCUAACCCGGGGGUUUCGCCACAUUAACUUGCCCACAUUAAGUCCAUCAUCGCCGGCCCUCAGCUUCCUCCCGCUAAAACCGUCCUGGGGUUUACUCCAACCCGUAAUGCAAAACUCCGGAGCGCAUCGCUCGAGGGGGAGCGACCGCCCUGGAGCACGAAACUCAUAGCAAGUAUGAUCGAUCCUUAACUCUAAGGAUAUAUAGUUCAAUCAUUGUCUUUACACUAACUCUAGUGUUCUUUACAUCACUUUAUUUUGCUAACUCUAGCAAUCAUUAUUCUUUAACUUUACUCGUUCUUUAUGCCACUUUCAUUUUCUUUUCUUUUCUCUAAUCAUUAUCAUUAUUCUUGCGUCACAUUUCUCUUGAUGCCACACACUAACUCUAGUGUCACAUUACUUUGUUUUGCUAACUCUAGCAACCAUUGUUCUUUAGCUUUACUCAUUCUUUAUGCUACUCGAUCUAUGUUUUAUUGUGUCACUUUGUUCUUUCAUCUCAUUGGACGCUCACAAUACAUCUCAUGCAUACAUAUAGGGUUGGAUAGGUUCUUAAACAUUUCAAGUAGCACGUGUACUCACAUCAUGCAACAUUCACAUAUAUAACAUCUCAUCUACCCUAUAAUGCAUGCAAUAAUAUAGACAUAUACUCAAUUGAAUGACACAUUAGGCAUAGAAGGAAUUCCAACGAGUUUGGAUAGCACCACCCACCUUGUAGGCUUACUUAGGUGCUUCGGUGAUUUUCUUGGGAUUUUUAGCUCCUUAGUUUGUCACCUGCGGCAAAACGAAGUCCUAUUAGGCCAUUUUGCUCAUAUCUUUACAUUGGCUUUUCGUAACGUUAAUUCGAGCACACCAACGCGUCGGAAAUACCCCCAAUUAGGUUUCUAAAAGGUCAAUCUCACUUUGAAUCCCUCGCAAGCAAAAGCCCCAAUUUGGGUGCCCUAGCUCAUAACAUAAAUCAAACUUAGGGUUUGAUCUCUACAAGAAGCAAAAGAAGCUUCAAUCUACUCUAGAGACUCCAUUAAAACCAUUCUUAGUUUAAUCCAAAUCCUAGUUUGGGUUCUACCAUGAGAGGGGUGAAGCUCACCUCUAAGCUUCAUCACACACACCCAACCCAUGGUGUUGAUCUCAUUAACAAGCAAAAUAAAGCUUGAAACACUUAUUAGGCUCAACUAAAACCAUUUUUAGGUCACUUAGUUCACAUUCUAGGGUUUUACCAUGAAUAGGAUUCAAGCUUACCUCUAAGCUUGCUCCUAGGUUGCUCCAAAGAGGAAGAAGAGGAGGUGGCUUCACUCCUUAGCUUCUUCUUCACCUUCUUUCUCCUUUUCUUCUUCUUCUUCUCCUUUCUUUUCUUUGUCUUCUUCUUCUCCUUAUUUUCUAGAGAGAGAAAGAGAGAAGAGAGGGAGUGUGAGGGAGAGAAUGAGAGAAAUGUCCCAAACCCCUCAUAUCAUAACCCAUAUAUUGCAUAAAUGCAAAUAAAUCCCUCAGCUUUUAUCUUAUUACACUGCUCAAACUGGGUAGAUUUCGGGUUCGGGGACCGGUCUCCCCGACUUGGGACCGGUCCCAGAGAGCUCUCCCCGCGGGCAGCAGGGCGCACGCGCGAUGCAACCGGUCUCUCACUGGGGGACCGGUCUCUCGGGGACCGGUCUCUCCCCGCACGGACCGGUUCCCGAGAGCUGGUUUUCUGGGACUUAGCCGAUUUUUAGCUUUUCUCAUUUCUCACGCGUUCGGGGACCGGUCUCUCCCACCAGGGACCGGUCCCCGAGAGCUCAAAAACUGCAGUUUGCAGAUUUUUGAUUUUUAGCUCUCGAAAACCUCCCAUAAUGCACUUUUGAUCAUUUUAACACCUUCGGACUUUCCGAAGUAUACCAUCCUCACACUUUGGUCAAUUUGACUAAAAUUCGAUAUUUAUUUUUCGAAUUUUCGGUAUAUUACAAAUCAGUUGGGAUACUUCACUCGUGAUUGCACUGAGCUGAAGAAGGUACAUCUCUAUCCCGAUUCUCGCUCUUUUGUUUCUUCUAACACGUUUGUUGCUGAAUCUCUCCCUGUGUGGAUUGUAGACUCAGGAGCAACAGACCACGUAGCGAGGGAUCGGAUGGGAUUCGUCGAGUAUCGUCAUGUGCCUGCUGGGAGCAGAAGAGUAUACAUGGGGAACGAUUCAAGUGUCGAUGUGUUAGGCGUUGGCACAUGCAAGUUGAUCAUACAAGGUGGUCGAACUUUAUACCUACAUGAUGUACUCUAUGCUCCAGGAAUUCGGCGGAACUUGUUUUCUAUUCCUGCUAUGCUACAGUUAGGCUUUUCUUUUCGUUUUGAGAGUGAUGUAGUUCAGAUUCAUUUUGGAACUAUUUAUUAUGGGAGAGGUUUUAUGUCAAAUGGUUUUAUGGUUUUGGACAUUGAUUAUAAUAUUAAUAAUAGUGAUUCUUUUUUCCUGCUAUCUUCUGUUGAGAAUGAUCACAAUAUUUCAAUUAAAUGGCAUGCACGUCUUAGUCAUAUUGGGCAGGAUAGAAUGACUAGAUUAGUUAGAGACGGGUUAUUGAGCUCGCUCACUAAAGUCGACCUACCCAUAUGUGAACAUUGUUUAGCGGGAAAAGCGACCCGAAAAUUAUUUAAUAAAGCUUCUAGGGCAGAAUUUUCUUUACAAUUGAUCCAUUCCGACAUUUGUGGCCCAAUGAGUGUGAGGGCAAGACAUGGUGCUUUUUACUUCAUCACAUUUAUAGAUGACCAUACGCUCUUCGGUCAUGUUUAUCUGAUCUCCCAUAAGUCUGAAGUAUUGGAUUGUUUUAGACGUUAUAAUAAUGAGGUUGAGAAUCAGUUAAAUAUGAAAAUUAAAACCUUAAGAACUGAUUGAGGCCGCGAGUAUCUAUCUCAACAAUUCAAGGAAUUGCGUGAUGAAAAAGGAAUAAUCAGACAGCUGACAAUUCCUGGCACUCCGCAGCAAAAUGGUGUAGCGAAGAGAAGAAAUCACACUUUACUUGACAUGGUUAAGUCAAUGAUGGCGCAACCAAAUUUGCCUAUCUCCUUUUGGGGAGAUGCAUUGUUAAUUGUUGCCAACAUUCUUAAUCGUGUACCCUCCAAAAUAGUACCUUCCACUCCUUAUGAAUUAUGGACAGGCAGGAAACCAAAUUUGGAGCACCUGCGUCCUUGGGGUUCGGCAGCCUAUGUGCACAACACUUCUCACAAGCAUGGGAAGUUGGGUCAUAGAGGAAAGAAGUGUAUCUUUAUAAGAUACCCUCAACACUCUAAGGGAUAUGUGUUCAUCGGAAAGCAGCCAGAUGGAAGUUUGACUGAAAUUGAGUCGCGGGAUGUUGAAUUCCUCGAGGAGGAUUUUCCUUAUAGAAAUGAGGUUCGAAAUGAAAUUAAGUUCCAUGAGAUGGAUGACUCUGGUAUUGGCACUUCUAGCUCAGUUGAGGCAGAGGAGGCAACUCCGAUACCUCCUGGGGAUAGUGGGAGCGACUUACCUUUAAAUAAGAAGCCUCAACUUCGUAGGAGCACACGUGUGGGAGUCCCCGUCGUCGUUUUGAGAUUGAGGGGGAAGCUUUCAUGAUUGCUGCACAUGAUGAUGAUGAGCCUAGAUCUUUCUAAGAGGCUCUCUCAUUACCUACUCAUAAGGAAUGGUUGGAUGCAAUGAUGGAGGAAAUAUAAUCGAUAAAGUCAAAUCAUGUCUGGGACUUGGUUGACUUGCCACCAGGGCGCAAAACAAUCGGGAAUAAAUGGGUUCUCAAGAUUCAGCGCAAAGCAGACGGUUCUAUCGAUAGGUACAAGGCUCGCCUGGUAGUAAAGAGUUUUAUCCAACGAGAAGGCGUUGAUUACGAGGAAACCUUUUCUCCUGUUGUGAGGUUUGCUUCGAUCCGCCUAAUCUUGGCUAUUGUCGCAUAUUUGGAUUUGGAACUUUACCAAAUAGACGUUAAAACUGCAUUUCUCAAUGGAGAACUGGAUGAGGAGAUCUAUAUGGAUCAGCCUACCAGCUUCUCUGUAAAGGGUGAGGAGCAUAAAGUUUGUAAGCUCCGACGAUCUAUUUAUGGAUUGAAGCAGUCCUCCAGACAGUGGUAUAUUCGAUUUCAUCGAGCCAUCGCUGAAGAUGGGUUUAUGAUGAUUGAAGAAGAUCACUGUGUGUAUGUUAAACGGUCCAAAGGAUUUUUUCUAAUCCUUUCCUUAUAUGUUGAUGACAUCCUAUUGGCCGGGAAUAAUAAGGAGAUGAUUGUCGCCACUCAGACGUGGCUGUCCUCUAAUUUUGAAAUGAAGGAAAUGGGUGAAACGAAUUAUGUGCUCGGAGUUAAGAUCCUACGAGAUCGUUCAAAGAAACUUUUAGGUCUGUCUCAAGAGACUUGCCUAAGAAAAGUUUUAGAACGAUUUCAGAUGCACAAUUGCAAACCCAUUGACACUCCUAUUGGUAAGGGUGAGAGUUUGAAUCUUAAACAGCGCCCUAAAACUUCUGAAGAGAAGGAUAAGAUGAAUCGGAUCGCAUAUGCUAAUGCGGUCGGGAGCCUGAUGUAUGCUAUGAUGUGUAUUCGGCCUGAUAUAUGCUAUGCCGUGGGCCUGCUUAGCCGUUUUCAGUCCAAUCUGGGAUUCGACCACUGGAAGGCUGUUAAAAGAAUACUUCGUUACCUCAGAGGUACGAUAGAUUAUAUGUUGUGCUAUUAAGGUACGGAUUUACGUCUCAUCGGUUAUAGCGAUGCGGAUUGGGCUGGUGACCUAGAUGAGCGUAAGUCGACCUAAGGAUAUGCAUUCUUACUUGGCAAUGGCGCCAUAACUUGGAGUAGUAAGAAACAGACCUGCAUAGCUCUUUCCACCAUGGAGGCGGAGUUCGUGGCGUGUUCUGCAGCAGCCUAGGAGGCUAUCUGGUUGAGAAGGUUCCUUCGAGAUAUUGGGAUUGUCGCUUGUACUUCCGUUCCUAUGACGAUCUAUUGUGACAGUACGGCAGCGAUUGCAUACACGAAGAACCCGAAAUAUCAUGGCAAGACAAAGCAUAUCGACUUAAAGUAUCACUUUGUUCAUGAGGCAGUGGAGCAGAAGGAAAUAAUCCUGGAACACAUCUCUACGAGUCGCAUGGUGGCAGAUCCUCUGACUAAGCCUAUUGUUAGAGAAUCUUUUUUGGCUCAUGUUAAAACUCUUGGACUCCGUAGGAUUUGAUUGUGUAGAUAGUCGAUUAUUUUUAGCCAUUUUUUUAUAAUUUCUUGGUUAUUUAAUUACAAAUUAUUAUUUUGGCAAAGAUAUUUGGUGAGAUUAGUACACAUGCAUAUAUUUCCUAUAUUGUUGUAGAACUGAUUGAUAGUAUGUCACAGGCUGAUUGGCCCAACUCACACGGGCAAUCAUUCUUUUCGGCGCUGUAGAGAGCGAGCAAAAAUUGAGGCAUUAAUGAAAGCCGCCUUGGUUGGCACCAAGAUGAGGUUAUUAAUGAGACCGUAUACGAAUAGUCCGACGAUUCAUAUGGCCUGUAUAUUAAGAGCCGAAUGUGAGAUCACCGUUUGACGCUUGAGAUAGCGAGCAAAUAGAGAACUCAGGCUAGACACUCCGGGAGUGACUGAGCUAAGAUCCGUAUGACAUUGAGAAAGACAUACGCUUAUUGGGAUUCUCUGUCAUAGCAUGUAUGUCAUACUACAUGUGCUGGGCGACUAAAUAAAGAAGAUGAGUGAAUAGAUCCCUGCUUUCUCAUCGUGUGAAUUCUUACCGGCAUUAUUUUGAGACGAUGUCCUGUCACGCCCUGGGACCGGCGGGGGCCCUCCCGGUGGCGUGCCUAGACCCGCCAUAUGUCUACACAUAUAAGGUGUCUACAAUAAAGCGGAAGUAAAAACAAGAAAUAGAACAAAUAGAAUAAUAACAACUAACAAUAUCAGAGCGAGCAAAGUUCUAUCCUCUAAACCAGAGUAAAGGAAAUAUACCAAGACAAAGAAAGUAAAACAUAAGUUGAUACAAUACUAACUCCUCAAAAGAAAUACCAAGAUCCAAAAGAAAGGUGGUCUCUAUACAUAUACGGGUACAACUCUCAACCUCUCACAAAAUAAAAUAUAGAGAGGUAGACCACCUAAACUCGUCCCUCGCUGAAGGGCUAACUCGAAGCGACGCCCUUCCCACGGUCCCUAGCCUCUCCCGGCGUGGAAGGCUCUGAAAGAAAACAUAAAACAGAGGGCGUGAGAACUAUAAUUUAUAGUUCCCAGUGGGCAAUUACUGACCUCAGCUCAAUGCACCACUAGGCCCCAAAAGAAAAGGGUAAGUAACGACAAUAAUAAUAAGCAAUAAAGAGCGAGUACAAUAACUGCUGAAAGAAAGCAUAUAUGAAAUGCUAUAUUACUAUGUCUCAAGUAAGCAUGAUGUAAGUAUGAUGUACAUCUACUCUAGCAUAAACAAGUACGUCCGAUGGCAACAAGUAAACGCUACUGUCCAAGAUGUCAUGCAUAAAGAAUGAGCUCUAUCAUGCGACCCAGUAUACUAUGACACAAUGAAUGAAACAGGCAAGUAUACUAUAUGUAUCCCAAUGCUAUGUCAUGAGCGUGUCAAGUAACCCAACUACUAAGCCUAUCUAGCAGUGAUUAUUCAUUCUUAACACCGUGUCGAUUUUCAUUUCCAAUUAAGGACCUACCAAAGGUAGUCCAGCUUGUGCCGCCUAAGUGCCUGUGGUAGCCCGACAUCCCUACUCUUGGAAUGUGUCUGUCCCACUCGACCCCGUAGGCUUCUCAAUACCGCACGAGCGAACAUAAGUCGCGUAGGCUAACUCCGGAGUGCCGGCUUGUAGGGAGCGACCCUCACAAGCAUGUGCGAAUGAGCACAAAUGGCAAACAAGCAAGGUCAAAGUCUCAAGUACUCUACUCUCAUGCCUCUCACAUGGCAAGGUCACUAGCAUCCCAAGGAUCUAGUCCAAAGUCUCAAAGUGACGCUCCAACGCACACACUUGCUUAGUGCCUCUUUAUGACACUUAAGCAUCACAACUAAUCAUGCCCAAUUCAUGUUCCAUAUUCCAAUUAAAACAAUACUAGCAAGGUUCACUUUAGCCCGGGCCCAAUGCCUCUUUAUGACAUUGGCCCAAUCUCUCAAAUAGUCUAAGUCCUCAAGCCUCUCUAGGCUUCCAAAAAUCCCUAAUGUCACAAUUGGCAAAUAAGCUAAAUGCAUGAAAGCAAGGUUCAUUUUCAUAAUAGGGAUCUUAGUUUCAAAUCUCAACCAGAAUGCUAUAUCACACAUGCAUGCUCUCUACUACAUAGAGGCCCAAAAUUUUACUAUAUGCAACAUAGGCAUUUUAAGCAUUCUAAAAUUCACAAUAAAUACAUAUAACAAGAAUAUGCAUGCUUUUUCAUUUUAUAACACUUAAAUCGUCAACAAUGAGAUUUUCUCAUUGAGUGGCUAGGUCAAACCCACCGAACCGUCGCGUGCUCCUUCGAUUCGCCGAACGGAGUUGUCCACGAGUCUCAAAAUACCCUAAAAGUAUUGAGCGAAGAGAUACACGGGCAUUACGAUCAACUAUAAGAUCAAACUUUAACAAACUUGGCAAAAGGGCUAAAACUCACCUAAUGUGUGGAAAAUCUCUCUCAAGCUCCAAAAGAGAGCUAAAUCCCUUCCAAUCCAAGCCCAAGGAAGGUUCUAAUCCAAUCAAUCUAGCCUCAAAAGCCCUAGAUCAAAAAGCCCCAAAAAUCAACCCUAAUAUCCAUUCUAGGGUUCCAUAUGGUAAAACCUACCAAAUCAAGGAUCAAAGGGUAGAAUCCAAGUACUAACCUCCCAAGAUGCCUCCAAACAAGCUCCAAAUCUUCUAGGGUUGAAGAUUGGUCCACCACCAAGCUCUACAAGCAAGCUCCAAGCCAAGCAAAGGUGGAAAAGAGAGAAAGGGGUUGAGGUCCAAGCUCCCUCAAGUAAGCUCCUCUUCUUUUUCUCCUCCUUCUUCUUCUUCUCUCUCUAGAAGGUGUGGGGUGAGGGUGAGAAAUGAGGAGGGAAGAGAGGGAAAUGGCUAAUAAGCCCAUCUAGUGUAACAAAAUCCGGAGAGGCCCCUCAAAAACUCAAAUUUACAUCAGCCUGAACUUUGCAGUUUUCGCCCAGAAGGAUCAGUCUCUCCCCAGCAGGGACCGGUCUCUCGCUGCGAACCCGAAAAAUCAACGUUCGGGAACCGGUCUCUCCCUGUGCGGGACCGGUCUCUCACUGCGUAGGCGCGCUCGGGGACCGGUCUCGCCUGCCAGGGACCGGUUGCCUCAAGGCUGCCGCAACACUGCUCACUGGGGGACCGGUCUCUCCUUUCAGGGACCGGUCCCCGAGAGUAAAAACUCUCAGGACUUGUCCCGAAUUCUAGUUUUCGAACUUUUUAGGUCGGAAAACAUUCUACAAUCCUCCACCAAGUGUGGAAAAGCUCGAAAUAUAUCCAAACACUGGAACCUCCAAUUUGCAAAGGUCCAGUGUGCUACAUGUCCUAUAUAUAUUAGAUGCCCUUAGUGACUUCUGACUAUGUCAUUAAGUGAAAGAAUUGAUGUUGCUACUUUGGCAUGUUUCCUACCGCUAUGAGUGAUGCGGCUUUAUGGGGCAUUGCUGGGAAAGCAAUCAGUUCUCAACUCAGUGGCAUGAGGGCUCAAGGAAGACUAGUUAAAUUACAUUACGACACUUUGACUCAUUGUCGACAGGUUGUAUCGCUUCAGUAUAGCGAAACAAUCAUGGGUAUAGUGUCAUAAUGUGCGCAAUUGCGGUUAGCAUGACUCUUUGAGGGAUUAGAGAUGUUGAACCUAAUGUAAUUCAAUGGUUUAGGGCAUCAUGAGUCUAAUAUUUCUUUUUUGAGGGUUGAUGUCUCUAUGCUGGCCGUAUGCGGUUUCUAGUAUAGAGCUCCCAAAAUGCAAGUUGACUCGGCGAUAGCACUGUUCAUUUCCCUGUAUGAAUAGAAUUAAUAGUGGUGUAAUGUUGAGGAAGUGGUUACGACGGCAUCGGCCCCGCUAUGUGCGAGUGGAAGAUGUUGGCAUUUGGUUAAAUCGAAUCGAGUGCGCCCAUAAUCGGGCUCGAUCCGACGGAUAUUAUGUUAUCUAAUUGGAUUAGGAUUAAUCUCGUUUUCAAAUUGGAAAGCUAAUUAGAGAUAAAUUCUAAUCAUAUUAGGAUAACAAUUAAUAACCGAUUUGGCCUUAUCUCUUACGCUAUUAGGAUUUUAGAAUCCCUUAUAAAUAUGCGGGCGAUCCUACAUAACGGAAGACACAGAACAAGAAACAGAGAGACUAAGAAUACAAAAGAGAGAUACCACAUCCUCCAUUAACCUAUUAUUUUAGAGGGACAUGAGCGGUGGAUUUGCGAUCGUGCUCGUUCGUAGUUCGAUCCACCGCGAGUUCGGAGCGUUAGAAGACCUUCAAGGACGAUCCAAGGACACGUGAAUCAAUCUCUACGAUCCGGGCUCAUCGCGUUGUAGCGCGAAUUGCUUCCGCCAAAAGGUACGAACGAAUACUUCCGCUGCAUUCUACAACUCUUCGAUAUCAUUUGCAUAGUAUUCAAAUAGCCUUCGAAUUAACAGUUUUUAAUUGAUAAUAUAAGGUGAGUUUAGGAGCGUUUGGUUAUGGGUUAAAAUGUAUAAACACCCUCUAAACUUUCACCCAUUUUGAACGACUGCAUAAACUUUUUUUUAUUCAUUUGAUUCGCACACCUCUACUUAGUAACCAUUAAUUUAGCUUCUUCUAUCAGCAAUUUUGGAUAUUCUAUUAGAAUCAAAACAAGAGCCCAUGAGAGAUGCACGUCAUCUCCUUUCAACUGAAAUAAUUUUUUUAUCACGUGUGCCUCUUGUGAGCAUUUUAUUUGGAUUCUAACAGAAUUCCCAAAAUUGCUUAGAGAAGAAGUUAAAUUAAACAGUUAGAAAGUAGAGAAAGUGAAAAUAACAUAUAUAUGUAAAUGAAAAAAAAAAAACAAUUUAUGGGGUCAAUUUUCAAAAGAGGUUAAAAUUUAAUUAGGGGGGUGUUUAUACAUUUCAACAUGAAAUAAAUGAUGCUUUAAAAUGUUCCAAAAAUCCAAAAUUGUCAACUGUCAAUUUGAAUGCUCCUUAGUCCAAAAUAAAGUAAAGAUAAGUAGCUCCAUUCACCUCUAAUAAAAGCAUUAAUUUUUAGCUUUUGAUAAGCUAUGUUGGUCUGAUCCUCUGUAAUAACGCUACCUCGUGGCCCUUUUAAUUACAUGUGUUUGUUACUGUACUAUAGAGUUGGAAAAUCUUUCUGAUCUUUUAAUAAAAUAAUAAAAAUAAUUCAAAAGUUUAAUUGUAGUUUUAGAAAAAUUUUGAAAAAAAAAUUAAAUAAUAAAUACUAUAGAAAAGAGAAUUACAAAAGACCUAUAUAUGGAUUAAGAUGUGCAGAGCACUAUUCUAGGACCGAAAUUGCAUCUCCACAUGCGAGACUUCUCGGCAAUUACUUCCAGCGAUACAACAUCGACGUUCCACCCCGUCGGCACGUUUUUAAGGUGGCGCAAGAUAAACAAAACAAACUUUAGAAAAUCCAGCAAAAUAUUAAAAAGCUCAAUGAAAAUCAGCGCAAAAGAUCAAUAGCGAGAAACAAUAUAAACAAAGGUAGGGAUUAGGGUUUUGCUCUCAGGUAUUGUAGUACCCUUGGCUUUGAGUUCGAGACGUUUUGCGCAAAAUAGACGUAAAAACGGACUUUGAAACUCAAGAUUUUUUUAUUGUAGAGGACUAAAGUGGAAAAUCUAGUUGUAUAGGGGCUUAUGGGCAAUUGUUUUUACUUAGUCGGUGGAGUCCACGUGGUCCUCCAUUCUCCAUCCUCAUCCUCUCUUUUUGUUUUUUUGUUAUUUAUAUUGCCAAGUUGUGAGCUAAUUAAUUAGCAGGGUAGCAUUGGGUUCGUUCGUGCGAGCGAUCAAGGCGAGCGAGCAAGCGAGCGAGUCAAGUGCGCGCAUCGUAGUAGCGCCGUUGGAGGCCGGGCGAGCGCGAAAUUUCUUCUCCUAUUGACUUCUCGCUGUCGUGAAUUAGCUGUUGAGGUGGGUUUAUCAUGGGAAUCCUACUCCUAUAGUAUUGUUGGUCGACAUGUAUCGUUAAUAUUAUACGUUGUUAUUGUUUAGCUCAAAUUCAUGAGUAGGUAUGUGUUAGACAUAUAAACUGAAUUGGGAGCAUGUUAUUAGUUGUUAUUAAUCAUACAUGUGGGACUUGGAUAAAACAUAGGAGAAAACCAGCGUUCGGGACCUGACAUAUGUUGAACUACCUGAUUUAGCCCUUGGGGUCGUUGUAUUUUUAUACUGUUGCAGUAUCCUUAUAGUGAGUAUCCCAGGUAGUUCAGAUUUCAGUUACGCUCGUGCUGGGAUGCCGAGCCGAUUUUACAGUAGUGUUUACAGUGUUCCGAAUUAGUGGGUGCCGUAGUGGUUGACGGCGGACCCGGAUUUGAUCGUUCCGAUAUCAGAUUGUGCCGAGGACACAUGGCUAGGGGUUGGUAGUACUUUUAGACCUGUUUUCUUGGCUUUAGCCUGUGAGAGCCUGAUUUAGCUCGACAGAUAUACGCUUGCAUACUCGGUUGGGUCGCGCCCACGAGUGUCGCUCCGGAGUCUGGCUUUGUGCUUUCGCAUUGAUGUCGCUGAUUAGUUGCUAUCCAUGAACUGUUUAGCGUGGAGGUAGCACGGCUUAGACAGGCGGGACAGGUGCGUACACAGUCCCUAAUAAGAUUGUGUUAGAAUUGAUAGUAGACAUAGUGGGAUAGUGUAGUGGCAUGUAGCUGUGGAUUUCUUUCCGGGUUUACCUUUUAGCCUUAUUUCCUACUGUAGUCUUAGUGGGUGAGCCGAUGAGUUUGAGGGCGGUUCCCACUGAGGACUACUUGUUUUACAGUAGUUCUCACGCCCAGUUGUUACCCUGUGUUUUGCAGAGCCUGCUGUUCCGGCUGCUGCGUCUUCAGAGGCGGAUCGAGGCAAGGGCGUCGCGAGCUAGAGCCCUACCCGACGAAGCGCCAUGCUAGAGGACCACCAGCUGCAGGUAGUAGUGUUUUUAUUUUGUGCUUAUGUACAUAUUGAUGCUAGAACUCGCUGGAGCGAGUGUUUUUGUACUUGUUAGUUUGUAUGUAUAUGAGAUUUGUUCGUUCUACCUGCUUAGUUCUCUUUAGCUCUACACUACUAUUUGUAGUAUUGUAUAUUUUACUGAGACAGCUAUCGCUUCGUAUAUAGGAAAAAUUUCUUUGUAUACGGUGGAUUUGUCGGCGUGCCUGGAGAACGUGUAAUCCGGGGCGUGACAGAUUAAGUUGGUAUCAGAGCUUAGCAUUAGGUCAUUGAGACCUAGGAAACCUAAGUUUGGCAAACCUUAGGAAAGCAAGACGGGAGAGGCGUGAUUUAUUGCGAAAUAAUUAUUAUAACUCACCCUGAAGGGAGUGAGUGAUUGGAGGAGUGCCUGUUCUGGCCUGCAAAAUUAUGUUUGCUGCAGACGACAUAAUUUUGAGGAGAAACAGGGGCUGCCUUCCGGACUUUCGUUGAUUGGGUCGAGAGUAUUUGUGUUAUCUGACCAUGUUCUAUUUUUGCAGCUAUGUAUCGUCAUCGAGGCCGACCAUCGACACGGGACCGGGCACAGUUGACACAGGAUCGUGUGGGACCCUCCCAGAUGCCUGAGCAGGCAGAAGCCGAGUGCUCGGCAGGAGCAGGGUACACGACCAGAGACAAGCGCAUUUCCCGAUUUGGGUGCUCAGUUGGCCGCUCUGACAGAGGUGACGAGGCGGCAGGGAGAGUUGUUAGAGAGGUUGUGUGAGAAGGUCACCCCGCCACAGAGUAUCGUACCAGAGCAGAUUGUUCCACCUCCGACUGCUCCAGCGGCAGCACCAGCUAUAGUAGUACCACCACCAGUGACCGUUCCUUCAGUGCCAGUUGCGCCGGUUGGUGAGGCAUCGCAGAUGACCAAGGCUGAGCAGGAGCGGAUAGCUGAGAGACUCGCUCGCUUUCAUCGUUUCGAUCUGCCGACCUUUGAUGGCCGAUGCAUAGAGGCUUGGGUUGUUGAGGACUGGGUCAGCUCGAUGGAGAAGUUAUUUGAGGAUCUUUUCAUUCCUGAGCGGGAGUAGGUACAUCUGGGAGUGCAUUGCUUGACAGGGGAUGCCCUUGCUUGGUGGCGGAGAGUGAGGAGAGAUUACCAGUUGGUGACUUUGCAGAUGACAUGGGACGAGUUCUGUGGAAUGCUGUAUGGGAUGUAUUUUUCAAACAGUGUGAAACAGAAGCUCGAGGAGGAUUUAAAGAAGAUCCAGCAGGGGGACCGAACAGUACAGGAGUAUAUUCGAGAGUUCACGCGACUCCUGAACUGUGUGCCGUUUGUGGCUAGAGACGAGGCACACAGGGUGUACCUUUUCGAGCAGGGUUUGAGGCCCGAGAUUUUUCGGCUGGUUCAGGUGCAGAGGUUGAGGACCUUCGACGCGUCGAUGGAGCAGGCACUUUGGGUUGAGAGAGGUGAUGUAUCUAUUCGGGAGAUGACUCAGGCUGCAGGGCAGAGUCAGGACAGGAAGCAGUCAACUCCAGAUAAGGGUGGACAGUUGAGCAACCGGCGUCCGCCGAGACCUCCAUGGUCGCGUUCUCAGGGUCGUGGGUUCUCAGGGCGUCAGCGUUCUGGGGGAUCGCGGCAGCAGAGGCAGUCACAGGGAUUACCACCAUGUGUGAUUUGUGGAGGACCGCACUGGGCCCAGCAGUGUGAGCAGCGUGAGGGCCGAUGUUUUGGAUGUGGACAGCCGGGACAUAUGAGGUCUGCUUGCCGCCGAGCAGCAUCACCAGCGCCAUCGACCGCUUCAGCAGCAUCCGGAUCUCAGCAAAUUUCUGGAGCAUCUCAGAGUUACCGCCAUGAGGACAAGGCAUCUGCGACGCGACAGGGUGAGCGGCAACAGCAGGCUCCGAGUGACAGAGUAUAUGAAGCCCAGGUGGAGGACUCUUCAGCAGCCGACCGGGUGGUGGCAGGUAUUAUUUUGAUUUCUGGCAUUUGAGUCCGCACUCUUUUUGAUACCAGUGCAUCUCAUUCUUUCGUUAGCCGAGCAUUCGCGUUGUUGCAUGGUCUAGAGUUAGGAGCUUUGUCACAGGCACGAGAGGUGCAGAUCCCCGAUCAUGUAUUACAGGUUACCGAGUGUUGUUGGUCGUGUCCGGUGUAGUUGGAUUCGUGGAUCAUGCCCGCAGACUUGUUGGUUUUAGGGCAGCUGCAGGACUUCGACGUUGUGCUCGGUAUGGAUUGGCUUGCACAGUACUAUGCUACUAUCGACUGUGGAGCGAGGACAGUGACGUUUCGCGAGCCAGGCCAGGAGUAGUUUACUUUUAGGGGCUGCAGGAGUACGCUGUUCGCUACUUGGAUAUCUUCGGCGAUGGCUCGACAGUUGAUGAGUAGAGGAUGUGUCGCGUUUUUAGCGACGGUAGUAGAGGUACCUACAGCAGCGCCGGGAUUCGAGGAUAUCUCUGUAGUCCGCGAGUUUCCGGAUGUGUUUUCCCCUGAGUUGACGAUGAUGCCGCAGGAGAGGGAGAUUGAGUUCAUGAUUGAUGUGGUUCCCGGAACUGCACCAAUCUCGAAGAUGCCUUACAGGAUGGCACCGGCAGAGCUGAGAGAGCUAAAGGCGCAGCUUCAGGAUUUGAUGGACAAGGGAUAUGUGAGACCGAGUAUAUCGCCUUGGGGAGCGCCGGUGUUAUUUGUAAAGAAGAAGGAUGGUUCGCUCAGAUUAUGUGUGGAUUACCGGGAGCUGAAUAAAGUGACCAUCAAGAACAAGUAUCCCUUGCCGCGCAUUGAUGAUUUGUUUGAUCAGCUGCAGGGAUCUUGUGUCUUCUCGAAGAUUGAUCUCGAGUCAGGUUACCACCAGCUGAGGGUGAGGGCCGAUGAUGUUCCCAAGAUAGCUUUUCGGAUUCGGUACGGGCAUUAUAAGUUUACCAUGAUGCCUUCUGGAUUGACGAAUGCCCCUACCGUAUUUAUGGAUUUGAUGAACAUAGUGUUUAAGCCGUUCUUGGAUAGAUUUGUGGUAGUCUUCAUCGACGAUAUCUUGAUUUACUCCUGGAGUGAUGCUGAGUAUGAGGAGCACUUAAGGAGCACUUAAGGAUUGUGCUACAGCUUCUGCGAGAGAAGAAGCUGUAUGCCAAGUUAAAGAAAUGAGAGUUUUGGUUGCGGGAGGUCGCUUUCUUGGGCCACGUGAUUUCUGCAGAGAGAGUAACAGUGGACCCGAAGAAGAUUGAUGCUAUUCGGGAUUGGCCCACACCGACGACGGUGACAGAGGUGAGGAGUUUUCUUGGACUAGCAGGAUAUUACAGUCGGUUUGUGGAGGGCUUUGCGAAGCUUUCCACACCCCUUACCAGGUUGACACGGAAGGGGAUUCGAUUUGUUUGGUGUGAGGACUGCCAGAGGAGCUUCGACGAGCUGAGACAGAGAUUGAUGUCAGCUCCUAUCCUUGCUCUCCCUGUGAUGGGGGAAGAAUUCGUGAUCUACAGUGAUGCAUCGCACAGUGGACUAGGUUGUGUGCUGAUGCAGCAUGGUAGGGUAAUUGCUUAUGCUUCACGAUAGUUAAAGAAUUAUGAGAAGAAUUACCCUACGCAUAAUUUGGAGCUUGCCGCGGUAGUCUUUGCUUUGAAGCUGUGGUGGCAUUAUUUGUACUGUGAGCACUGCGAGGUUUUCACCGAUCAUAAAAGUCUCAAGUAUCUGUUCACUCAAAAGGAAUUGAAUCUCAGGCAGCGCCGGUGGUUGGAGUUACUGAAGGACUAUGAUAUUAGUAUUCAGUAUCAUCCCGGCAGGGCGAAUGUAGUGGCAGAUGCAUUGAGCAGGAGUGCAGCGCAGAGCUUGAGUUUGUUGAUCACUCAGCAGAGACCGCUACUUGAGGAGCUACAGCGGCUGAGGCUUGAGGUGGUGUCCCUUGGGUCCACAGCAAGACUGAUGUCUCUGGUCUUGCAGCCCACUCUGUUUGAUAGGAUCCGGGAGAAAGAGAGUGGAGAUCUGCAUUUGUUGAGGAUUCGAGAGCAGUUAGAUAGGGGACAGGUGGAGGGUUUUGCCUUAGACAGUUCGAGAGUACUGCGGUACAGGGACCGACUGUGUGUGCUUGUGGAUUCUAAGAUCCUAGAGGACAUCUUGAGAGAGGCUUAUUGUUCACCUUAUACGGUUCACCCUGGGGAAACCAAGAUGUAUAAGGAUUUGAUAUAAGGAUUUGAAGGCACAGUUUUGGUGGAAUGGGAUGAAGAGGGACAUUGACAGAUUUGUAGCUCAGUGUCUACCUUGCCAACAGGUAAAAGCCGAGUAUCAGGUACCUGUUGACAAGCUUCAGAGUCUGUCAGUGUCCGAGUGGAAAUGGGAGUAGAUCACGAUGGAUUUUAUUGUGGGGUUGCCUAGAGCACAUGGUGGUUAUGAUGCUAUUUGGGUGAUAGUGGACAGACUGAAUAAGUCUGCUCACUUCCUACCAGUUCAGACUAUCUGGUCUAGAGAAAGACUCGCGCAGUUGUAUCUGGAUGAGAUUGUCAGGCUACAUGGUAUACCAGUAUCGAUCGUAUCAGACCGGGACCCGAGGUUUGUGUCACAUUUUUGGAGGAAUUUACAGACAGCUUUGGGGACUCAGUUACAUUUCAGCACAGCGUUUCAUCCGCAGACUGAUGGUUAGUCGGAGCGGACCAUUCAGACUCUAGAGGACAUGCUGAGGGCAUGUGUCCUGGAUUAUGGAGGAGGGUGGUAUCGACACUUGAGACUAGCAGAGUUAGCGUAUAACAACAGCUAUCAAACGAGCAUUCAGAUAGCUCCGUUUGAGGCAUUAUAUAGAUGCAGGUGUCGAUCCCCGUUGUUUUAGAGUGAUGUGGGUGAGAGGAGGACACUUGGGCCUGAGAUUUUGCUAGAAGCUGAGGAAAAGGUGAGAGUUGUUCGACGACACCUUUUGACAGCCCAGAACCGCCAGAGGAGCUACGCUGAUACCAGGAGACGAGACUUGGAGUUCCAGGUUGGAGAUCAUAUAUUUCUUAGUCUCGCCGUCCAGAGGGAUUCGCCGAUUUGGAGUGCGUGGAAAGCUCAGUCCACAUUUCGUUGGCCCUUUUGAGGUAUUUGAGCGAGUUGGACCAGUUGCUUACCGGAUUGCUCUACCUCCCCGACUUGCUGGUAUUCAUGAUGUGUUCCACGUCUCGGCGCUGAGGAGAUAUGUUUUCGAUCCUUCUCAUGUGAUUGACUUCACUCCACUAGAGAUUGGCGAGGAUCUGAGAUACGAGGAGCGACCGAUGCGGAUUCUUGCUCGUGAGACGAAAGAAUUACGCAACCGGGUCAUCCCGUAUGUGAAAGUGCAGUGGAGCAAUCACGAAGAGCGGGAGGCGACUUGGGAUCCUGAGACAGUGAUGAGGGAGUCCUACCCCGACCUGUUCGUUGUCCCGUCUUGAGAUAUGCUUUAAGUUUCGAGGACGAAACUUUUUGUAGUAUGGGAGGAUGUAGUACCCUUGGCUUUGAGUUGGAGACGUUUUGCGCAAAAUAAACGUAAAAACGGACUUUGAAACUCAAGAUUUUUUUAUUGUAGAGGACUAAAGUGUAAAAUCUAGUUGUAUAGGGGCUUAUGGGCAAUUGUUUUUACUUAGUCGGUGGAGUCCACGUGGUCCUCCAUUCUCCAUCCUCAUCCUCUCUUUUUGUUUUGUUUUUUUAUUUAUAUUGCCAAGUUGUGAGCUAAUUAAUUAGCAGGGUAGCAUUGGGUUCGUUCGUGCGAGCAAGUCAAGUGCGCGCGUCGUAGUAGCGCCGUUGGAGGCCGGGCGAGCGCGGAAUUUCUUCUCCUAUUGACUUCUCGCUGUCGUGGAUUAGCGGUUGAGGUGGGUUUAUCAUCGGAAUCCUACUCCUAUAGUAUUGUUGGUCGACAUGUAUCGUUAAUAUUAUACGUUGUUAUUGUUUAGCUCAAAUUCAUGAGUAGGUAUGUGUUAGACAUAUAAACUGAAUUGGGAGCAUGUUAUUAGUUGUUAUUAAUCAUACAUGUGGGUAAAUAAUUAUGACCAUUAAAAUAUAAAAUUUAAAUAAUUAUAUAAUAUUUAAAUAUUAUAGAUUUUAAUUCCUAAAUUUAAAAUUUAAAAAUAAUUAUAAAAUUUUAAAAUAUAAAUUUAAAAUUUGAUAUUUAAAAAUUUAAAUUUUAAAAUUUUGAAAAUUUAUAAUUUGAAGCAUUAAAAAUUAUAUAUUAAAAUUUAAAAAAUUUAAAUUUUACAUUUACAUUUUAAAAAUCUNNNNNNNNNNNNNNNNNNNNNNNNNAUUUUAAAUUUUAAAUUUUAAAUUCUAAAUUUAAAGUUUGAAAUUUUAAUUUUAAUUUAUAUUUUUAUAUAUUAAAAUUUUAUAUUUUAAAAUUCAUAAUUAUAUAUAUUUUUAAAUUUAUAUUUAUAUUUUUAAUUUUUAAAUUUUUAAAAUUUUAAAUUUUUUUUUAAAUUAAAAUAUCAAAUUUUAAAUUUUGUAUAAUUUUGAAAUUUAAAUAUUUUAUUUUUAAUUCAAAUUUAAAUUUAGAUUUUAAAUUAUUUUAAAAUAAAAAUUAAUAAAAAUAUUAAUUUAUGGAAAUAUCAAAAAAAAUUUGUCCAACAGCUUUUCAAAAUCAGUUCAGAAAAAUUACUUUUAUCUAAACUCCGCCAAACGCUCUACAGUUUUUAACUAAAAUUACUUUUCCAAACUAAAAUUAUUUGUUUAGAAAUUAUUUUUUCAGAAGCUAGGCCAAAUAGACCCACAGUUGUAGCAAAUGAAACUAGGACGGAGUUAGUCACAGUUUCAAUUAAGUACUUGGGCAGAAUGUUAAAGUAAGAGGUAUCUUUCCCACAUAAUCACCUUUUAAAUGAAAAAAAAAAAUAAAAUCUUCUCCACUGUAAGUUGUCUCACACCCCAUAUGGAAAGUGAUAAAAUAGACAAAUACAGUUCCUAACUACAUGUAAUCGAGCAAAAUUUUUAUAAUUACAACGCCUUCGAUCUACAUUCAAUUAAAUAAGAUAUAUGUAACUAUAAUCAUUAUAAUUUCAACUAUAUCAAUCUUUAUAUUAUAUUUGUAAACUGAAAUUAUACUUUUGGUCCUCAAAUUUUGAGUAGUGUGGCACCUUAGUCCUCGAAUUUUGAUUUGUUGUCAUUUAUGAAUCAAAAAUUUUAAAUUGUUGCAAGUAAACUCUACGGUCCAACUUAACUGGUUAAAUAAUAAUUUAUCGCUAAUAUAGAAUUAAUGUAGUAGUGUUACAAUUGAUAACGUGGCAAUUAUUAAGAUGUCACAUUGUUACCACUUAGCGAAAUAUCAAUAUUCAGUCAACUUAAUUGAACUUUGUGUCACGCCCCGGGGCCGAUUUUAAAAGUCUUUUUAAAACAGAGUUGCGGAAAACGUGCCAUUUUUUUUUUUUUUUUUUUUUUUANUCAUACAUGUGGGGCUUGGAUAAAAUAUAGGAGAAAACCAGUGUUCGGGACCUGGCAUAUGUUGAACUACCUGAUUUAGCCCUAGGGGCCGUUGUAUUUUUAUACUGUUGCAGUAUCCUCAUAGUGAGUAUCCCAGGUAGUUUAGAUUUCAGUUACGCUUGUGCAGGGAUGCCGAGCCGAUUUUACAGUAGUGUUUACAGUGUUCCGGAUUAGUGGGUGCCGUAGUGGUUGACGGCGGACCUGGAUUUGAUCGUUUCGAUAUCAGAUUGUGCCGAGGGCACGUGACUAGGGGUUGGUAGUACUGUUAGACCUGUUGUCUUGGUUUUAGCCUGUGAGAGCCAGAUUAAGCUCAACAGAGAUACGCUUGCAUACUCGGUUGGCUCGCGCCCACGAGUGCCGCUCCGGAGUCUAGCUUUGUGCUUUCGCGUUGAUGUCGCUGAUUAGUUGCUAUCCACGGACUGUUUAGCGUGGAGGUAGCGCUGUUUAGACAGGCGGGACGGGUGCGUACACAGUCCCUAAUGAGAUUGGGUAAGAAUUGAUAGUAGACACAGUAGGAUAGUGUAGUGGUAUGUAGCUGUGGAUUUCUUUUCGGGUUUACCUUUUAGCCUUAUUUACUACUGUAGUCUUAGUGGGUGAGCCGAUGAGUUUGAGGGCGGUACCCACUGAGGACUACUUGUUUUACAGUAGUUCUCACGCCCAGUUGUUACCCUGUGUUUUGCAGAGCCUGCUGUUCCGGCUGCUGCAUCUUCAGAGGCGGAUCGAGGCAAGGGCGUUGCGAGCUAGAGCCCUACCCGACGAAGCGCCGUGCUAGAGGAUCACCAGCUGCAGGUAGUAGUGUUUUUAUUUUGGGCUUAUGUACAUACUGAUGCUAGAACUCGCUAGAGCGAGUGUUUUUGUACUUGUUAGUUUGUAUGUAUAUGAGAUUUGUUCGUUCUACCUGCUUAGUUCUCUUCAGCUCUACACUACUGUUUGUAGUAUUGUAUAUUUUACUGAGACAGCUAUCGCUUCGUAUACAGGAAAAAUUUCGUUGUAUACGGCGGAUUUGUCGGCGUGCCCGGGGAACGUGUAAUCCGGGGCGUGACAGGUAUGCCUUGGCUCAGGGUUGAACUCAUACAACCUUCUCCAAUAUAUAUAUAUCCAAAGCAAAGAUUUUGGUUCAAUGCGUCAAUUUCUUUAAAACGCAAGAUAAGUCUAAGAUUAUAAGAGAAAUGGAUUAGGACUCCCAAAAAGGUUAGAACUCUUAAAAAGUUAAAGAUAAAAUCAGAAAAUAAAAAAUAAAAUAAAAUAAACUGAAUGCCUGAACCGCCCGUGCCGUCACCCACCCGGCCCGGCUCGUGCCGUGCGUGUGUAUAUUUAAUCAAAAGUAUCAUUCUCAUUUUCUUUCAAACAAUUUGCUUGAGAAUAAAGGAGAAUAUAAAUAACAACAAUAUAUUUUUAGUUUUUAAUGUGGAAUUAAUCAUCACUAGUGAAGAGUCCCGCGCUUUGCAGCGGAUAGAAACUAUAGUAGUAAUUAAUAAUAAUAAAAUAUUAAAUAAUGUUUUGUGUAUCUCACUUAGUACAUCUGCCAAUGAUGAAGAGAGAGAGAGAGUAAAAUAGCUCAUUCUAAAUAAAAAUUAAAUGAGAGAGAUGAAGAGACGUAUGUUGAGAAAGAGAGAAUAAAAUAGGAGAGAUGAGGAGACGAAAGUUGAGAGAGAGAGAGUAAAAUGGCUCAUUCUAAAUAAAAAUUGAAUGGGGGAAAUGAAGAGACGUACGUUGAGAGAAAGAGUAAAAUGGCUUAUUCUAAAUAAAAAUUAAAUGGGGGAGAUGAAGAGACGUAUGUUGAGAGAGAGAAUAAAAUGGAUCAUUCUAAAUUAAAAAAAUUUCAAAAUUAGGAGGUUAUGACACAUCAGCUUAAAACAUUGGGGAUUCAUAAAGAGUAAUAGAUAUGUGAAAAUCUUAGUUGGGUUCUCAGGCAAGACCUAUCAAGUAUUGGGCUGCCCAAGAGACCUAACAAGUUUUAAAUCACAAAAAACCCAAUAAAAACAAACACUAACUAUAUAUGUAGCCAAUUUGGGUGCUUGGAUUAUUGCACGAGCAUUCAAUUGUCAUAGUUAAAACUCCAAGAGAAGACUCAGGGGCCGUUUGGCCUAGCUUUUAAAAGCGCUUUUGGGCUGAAAAGCGAUUUUUCGGCUCAAUAGAGCGUUUGGCAACUCACUUUUAAAAUCUGAUUCUGCUUUUUAGAAUCAGAAAACUGAUUUUGAAGGCCCCAGAAUCAGAAAUAGAAAAAAGCUGUUUCUUAAAAUUUGUUUCUGAUUUUGGGUUUAAACUUUAAAUUUUUAUUUUUAUUUUAAUUUUAAUAUUUAAAUUUAAAUUUAAUUUUAAAUUUUAAUUUUUAGAUUCAUUUUUGAAUUAUUAAAUUUAAACAUUUAAAUAUUAAGUUUUAAAUUUUGAAAAAUAGAUUUCAAACUUUAAAUUUUAAAUUUUAAAUAUAAAUUUCAAAUCUCAAAUUUUAGAUUUUAAAAUUUAAAAUUUAAAAUUUAAAAUUUAAAAUUUAAAAUUUAAGAUAAAAUUUAAAAUUUGAUAUUUUAGAUUUUAAAAUUUAAAUGUAAAAAUUUAAAUUUUUUAAAUUUUAAAUUAUAAUUUUUAAUCUUCAAAUUAUAAAUUUCAAAAUUUUAAAAUUUAAAUUUUAAAUUCCAACAUAAAAUUAUAAAUUAAGAAAUUUAAAUUUUAAAUUUCAAAAUUUACACCUAGGUUUCUAAAUUUUAAAAUCUAAAUUAAAUUUUAAAUUUUAAAUUUUAAAUUUUAAUAAAAAUUUUAAAUUUUAAAAUUCAAAUUUAAAAAUUUGAAAAUUUAAGUUUCAAAUUUUAAAAUUUAAAAUUUAAAUUUUAACUUUUAAUUUUGAAACUCAAGAAAUUUUAUAGAAUUACACACUAUGCGUCCAAAUAGUUUAAAAAUUAAAUUCGUGAAAUUUUUUAGAGUUACAAAAUUUUUUAUUUUAUCCAGAGGAAAAUACAGUUUAUAAAUUAUAUAAAAUUUUUUUAAUGAGAAUCCAAAGUCCAAACAUUCCUCUAGUCAACCUAGUCAACAAACCAAGUAUCACUGUCCAACAUGUUGACCGUCGUUGAGCAAGAAAAUCUUUUAAAUCCUCCGCAGUCGUCGUCCGUAAUUCCCAACCAAUCAGAUCGCAGCACACGGAUCAUGUGCUUCGUCAAAGUUCAAUCUCGCCCGUCCAAACUCCCUGCCCUACUCCGAUACACACAAUCUCAACCGCCCUCUAAGUUUCUCCAACUCAUAUAAAUACCUCUUCAAACUCUUCGUAACGCCUUCUCUCCUCUCAUAUCCUUAAUAAUAAUAAAAAAAAAUUUAAAAAAAAUUAAAAAAAACAUCCGUCUCCAAAACCCUAAUCCUUCUACUCGCUCCCUUCCCUUUCAACCCCAGCGGCAUUAAUGGCGCGUACGAAGCAAACCGCUCGCAAGUCCACGGGAGGCAAGGCUCCUCGGAAGCAGCUCGCCACUAAGGUACGCUCCGAUCGAUCCAUCCGUCGAUCAAACGCCUAGGGUUUUGUGUUUUCUUUCUAGAUCCCUUCAAUGGCGAUCUCGAUCUCGAUUUUGUGUCAUAUAACGCGGCGAGGAUCGAUCCGACCUCUCUAGUUUAGGGUUUUCUACGUAGAUUCCCCUGUGAUCUUGAUCGUGAUCUCUAUCCUGCCUUAUAUAAAGUAUAAUGCGGCGAGGAUCAAUCCAAUCUCUAGGUAGAGCUCCCCUCUGACUUCAAUCUUUUUCUACAUCAUGUCAUGUAUAAUCCGGCAAGGCCUUGGGGUUUAGGGUUUAGGGUUUACUGUGGAAAUGUCUGUCCGAUAUCGGUCUUGAUUUAGGAAGGAAGGAAAGGUCGAUUCGACCUCUAGUAGGGGUCUAGGAUUAUUUCUUAUUUCUUAUGCUGAUCUGAUCUGAUCUGAUGCGUAGUAAUAUUAUUAUUUAUCUUGAUCUCAAUUCUGAUUGUGUUGUUGCUCUACUAAAUGUGGUGGUUGGUUGGGUUAUCUUAUCUCAUUUAUUUAUAUUUUGUAAAAUAAUAAAAAUUUUAAAAAAAGGCGGCGCGGAAGUCGGCGCCGACGACGGGAGGGGUGAAGAAGCCGCACAGGUUCCGGCCGGGGACGGUGGCGCUGCGGGAGAUCCGCAAGUACCAGAAGAGCACGGAGCUGCUGAUCCGGAAGCUGCCGUUCCAGCGGCUGGUGCGGGAGAUCGCGCAGGACUUCAAGACGGACCUGCGGUUCCAGAGCCACGCCGUGCUCGCCCUCCAGGAGGCGGCCGAGGCCUACCUCGUCGGCCUCUUCGAGGACACCAACCUCUGCGCCAUCCACGCCAAGCGCGUCACCAUCAUGCCCNNNNNNNNNNNNNNNNNNNNNNNNNNNNNNNNNNNNNNNNNNNNNNNNNNNNNNNNNNNNNNNNNNNNNNNNNNNNNNNNNNNNNNNNNNNNNNNNNNNNNNNNNNNNNNNNNNNNNNNNNNNNNNNNNNNNNNNNNNNNNNNNNNNNNNNNNNNNNNNNNNNNNNNNNNNNNNNNNNNNNNNNNNNNNNNNNNNNNNNNNNNNNNNNNNNNNNNNNNNNNNNNNNNNNNNNNNNNNNNNNNNNNNNNNNNNNNNNNNNNNNNNNNNNNNNNNNNNNNNNNNNNNNNNNNNNNNNNNNNNNNNNNNNNNNNNNNNNNNNNNNNNNNNNNNNNNNNNNNNNNNNNNNNNNNNNNNNNNNNNNNNNNNNNNNNNNNNNNNNNNNNNNNNNNNNNNNNNNNNNNNNNNNNNNNNNNNNNNNNNNNNNNNNNNNNNNNNNNNNNNNNNNNNNNNNNNNNNNNNNNNNNNNNNNNNNNNNNNNNNNNNNNNNNNNNNNNNNNNNNNNNNNNNNNNNNNNNNNNNNNNNNNNNNNNNNNNNNNNNNNNNNNNNNNNNNNNNNNNNNNNNNNNNNNNNNNNNNNNNNNNNNNNNNNNNNNNNNNNNNGCUCGGCCUGGGCUGCUGCAGGCGGCUGGAGCGGCUGCGGCGGCGCAGGCGACGGCGGCGGUCGGCGGGGAUGAUCGCCGAAGCACGGGGCGACACCGAGGGAGGGUCCAAAGGUGGCGGCGGUCUUAGGUCUCCUCACAACCCGAGAGGAGAGAGGGAGAGAGAAAGAGAGGGAGAGAGAGAGAAGUGGUGGCUGCGGCGGCGGUUGGCCGGCCGGGGCUCAGUCGGCGGCGGCCUGGGCGCGCGCAGCAGGUGCAGGGAAGAGGUAGGAGGCGGCUAGGGGGCUAGGGCAAGGCUAGGGUUAGGGUUAGGGGAUCAAAACCCUAGAAACUAUAAAUACCAAGGUGUAACUUUGCAAAAAAGUCCACCAAACACCGGAAUUUCAAUCCGAGCCCCUCACCGAACGACUAAAACGCAAGAACGCCCCUCCACAUGCGAUCCCUUGCGAAACGAUACAUAAAAUAUCGCGACUUUUGCGAAAAUACCGUUUUGCCACUACCGACCUCUCUUCGAUCAACGCACGAUCUCCGCAGAUCCGUCCGUCAGAUUUGCGAACGGAUUGCACCAGUGCGAUCAGCACGAUGGAGACAACAAAGCUGCGAUUUCGUUUCGUCUCGAUCGACCACGGAUUCAUGACAAAAUCUAACCUUUCGUUCCAAUCGAAAGAAACACGCAAAAAUACAUAUAAAACAUGUAUUUUUGGAUUUUCUCGAAAUCCGUGCGUCGAACUCAAAAUCCGUCAGCGCCAGUAGUUCCAGAACAGCUGAACCGAUCGAAACGAGCUAUUGGACUGCUAUGAACAGAGUCCGGUACGAGCCAGAAGCUAGCUUCUCACCGCGGCUUCUCCGAAAAAUCGAGUUACUAUUCACUUUAAGUGAAACUUGGAAAUCGCGCAGAAUUUCCGUUUUAACUCGUUUUCGCCUGAAACUUGACGAGUACUUUUGUAAUUAAAUUACACACAAAAACAUCGUCAACUGAGAGUUUAGCUACACUGCAAAAAUCUCAGUCCUCACAUCAUCCCCCCCUUAAAGAAAGUUUCGUCCUCGAAACUUGCUCACAGGCGGGGGUGAUCCGACGCACAACGAACCAGCACAACACAUGCAUGCAAUGCAAGGAGAGAUGCAUUAAACGAAAAGCAUGCAAGGCUACGACGACAACAACAACAUUAUACCUGCAACGACAUCAGCCGACUGAUCAUCCUCCUGACGCGUCAUCAUGAAGGCGCGUCCGUCAGUGGUCUGGUGUACCUCCUUCACUUGACGAGAUGUUGAUGGACGUCCAGCUGAAGAAUAGGUCGAAUUGCCACGAUCCUGCCAUGGAGCUGCUGGAGUAGAUGCUGCUGCAGAUGCUGUACCUGCUCCACUGGUGCAAUCUGCCCGAAGAUGUCCACGUUGGCCACACCUGUAACAGUGAUUGUGGCGCUGUGGGCACUCAAUAACCUUGUGAGCCUCACCGCAGAUAACACAAGGUCUGAUGCUCUGCUGCUGAGACGUAGCGGGGGCGCUGCUCGAUCCUGAAUGUGCCUUGCGAUGCUUGGAUGAUCGUCCGUUGCUUGAUUGGCUACCAGCAAAACUUUCCUGUGCUCGCUUCCUGUCUUCACUCUUCUCGGAUGCGUCUUGUUCGAUUCGAGCCUCGUCCAUUUCACUCUGCACCAUCAGGGCCCGAUCUAAGCUCUCGUCGAACGUCAACGCGCCAUGGGACGCGAUCAGAAGUCGAAUACUGGGCCUUGGCCCUCUCGCAAACAUCCUUGCCUUGUGAUACUCAUCACGAACCACGAACGGAAUCAACGAAACAAUGCGAGAGAAGUCUCGCUCAUACUCGCCUACGGUACGGUUGCCUUGCUUGAGACGCUCCAAUUCACGCUCCAAACUCUGCUUAGUGCUAUCCUUGAAGUACUGCUCGUACAGGAGUCUCCGAAAUUCCUCCCAGCUUGGAUAGAUGCUCCCAAGUUUGCGUUCGAAGUGGCUGAUCCACCACGAAUACGCAUCCUUCUCAAGACAGUGAGCAGCUAGAGGGACUCGAUCCAGCUCCUCGAUAUGAAGAUCACGGAACAACUUCUCCAUGUGAGUGGCCCAAUGCUCGAUCACCCAGACGUCGUCACUCUUUCCGGCGAAUUUCGGCGGAUCGAACUUUCGAAACUCCACCAGUUUUGCCCGUAUGCGGGUGCCUUCUGCUGCAAGGGUACCAACACCCCCAGCGAGAACCGUCGUGGGGGCCGUCGUCGUCGUAGUAAUGACAGCUGGAGGUACGGCAGGCGCAUGCGUCGCGGGAGGAUCCGCGUUCACCGGAGUGCCCUGUGCCGAAGGUGGGACCGGGGUAGCAGUAGCCGCAGCCUGCUGCUGCAAGAACUGCUGAAACAAACCAGAGAGGGUCGCAAGCUGACCCCUCAAAUCAGCUACCUGGGCCUCGAGCUGCUGAGUCCGAGUACCACUCAGCGGCUCCGCGCCCAACUGCUCCCCAACACCCCCACUCGGAGGAGCACGAGUACUGCCGGGCGUUUCCGCACCAACGCGUCCACAACCACGACCCGGACGAGGGGGCCUACCACGAGCCAUCUGCAACAGAAAACACCGUCAAGCAAACCAAACGACUUGACAUACCAACUCAUCGGGACUCAAACCCAAUACACCGCACUCGCGUGCCUAUAUACCUUAGGUCUUCCUAUAGGUCAACCUAACCAGUGGUUCAGUUAGAAACUUGUAAAUGCAGUUGUAGUUGUUUCACUCUCUGAUACCAUCUUAAUCUGUCACGCCCCGACUUCCCAGGGGGUCACCCAUCCUAGGACUACUUCCGUCCUAGCACGCUUAACUCUCUUAACCUCUUGGGUCUAGCCACCACCCAAAAUGCUUAAGCCGGGUUAAGAGUUGAGCCCUAUUAUAUCUUAUAUAUAGGACUAUCUGGGGUCUCACAAUUCUCUAAUCCAAUUAGAAAUAAAUAUUAAUCUCUCCAAUAUUUAAUUAGAUCUUAUCUAAUUUUAAUCUUAUUCAAUAAAAUUACUUACUAAUAUUUAAAUCUCAUUUAAAUAUCUUUUAUGAUUAAAUAUUAUCCACUAAUCUAAUUAGAGAUAAAUUUAAAUCUUGCGCAUAAUUCUCAAACUGAUUCUGAGAUCCUAAUCUAAUUAGGACUAUCAGUUAUAACCUAAUCGAAUAAUUAAAUCUAAUUUAAUUAAGCAGCUUCCUUUUAUUUUUCAUCGCUUAUACUAAACUCUUUAGUGAACGACUCUCAUCCAAACGAUUCGGGUCCACACAAUUCCUAAUGUGUGUGACCGCAUAGAUUCGUUACGCAGUGGAGCUAAAUAUCAAACUCUUUGAUAUUUAAUUAGAACCCUUCUAAUCGAUAAAUAAGAAUAAUUAAAUUCUAAUCAUUCAUAUUCUCUCACCGUCCGUGAGUGACACCUAGCAGUAUAUCACGGCAAUCCAGAAUGGUGAUUAAGAAUGAACCUUUCCGCUUACAGUUAUCAAGUGAUUAAUUCCUUCCAACAUACAACGUCCCGAUCGAACUAAGGUCAUGGUUACUCGCCAAACCUUAUCAUUCGACCAUAUGACUAGACUAUCUGAAAUCAACUCAAUAUGACAACACAGUUGAAAACUCUUUCCACAUACCAUGUACCCUGGCCAGGGGUUUUCCGUGUCGAGUCCGAUAAACUGCAUAGGACAUUCUCCCUCAUUAUUGAGAGUGUUGGAAUCCUUAUUUGCUCAUUCACAUGCCUCCUCGCAUAAAUCACUACAGCCAAUCAGUAUCGAACAUAGACAUGUGUCUAGAGUCUAAGUAUUAGUACUGUCAAACGGUAGCAACCUAUACGUGAAGCAACUAUGAUGCCUCAGGUCCGAUGAGUACUUCACACAAUUGUAGCAAUGAACUUGUCACUGGCGAGUAUAGAACCAUGUGACUAUUCAACUAAAUAGUCACGCUCAGUGUACUUAUUUUCUAACAAGUACCUGUAUGCUUGUUUUAGUGUCCCUACACUAGUGACUUGAGAUUCGUCACCUCAAUUAAAAACAUAGCAUACACCGGCCUAUCCGGAAUAUCACCGUCCCUGUAAUAUUCCUCUGGCUAGGAGCAUUUAAAGAGUCUUGUACAGAAAAGUACAUAUCUCAAAUUCCUACAUUUUAGGAAUGUCUUUUCAAACAAAGACUUUAUGGACGAUUCAUGUUAAUAUUGGACUGCUAGACAAUAUACAUGAAUAGAAUAUCUGCCCUCAUAUUAUAAAUUAUCAAUGAUUAAUAUAUAAAUACCCUCAAGCUAGUAUCACCAGAUUGGCUUUUGGGUAUAUAACUAACAAUCUCCCAUUUGCACUAAAGCCAAAUACUCACAUAUUUUAUAUGCAUUAUUUAAAAUCAACUCUUCAACCCUUGAAGAGUAAGCUUUUUAGCUAGUGCAUCCACUAAACUAUUCAUGACUAUUAUAUUCUACUUAGCAAAGUUGUUGGGAGUAUAAAUCAUUUCCAUUCACUAAAUACGUCUGGAUCAUUGAUGAGACCUAGGUUCUAUAUGAACCAUAUGGAGUUCUAAACUCCAUGAACCAUAACAUAUUCUAUAGUGCAUCUCAUGCAGCGCCACACUUAACCUUCAUGUUAUCUUGCUCGAACUUUUCAAGCAAUAACAACUCUGAUACAAUCUCAUGAAAUCUCUCUUUUCUCUCUUUAGUGUCAAUACUUCACAAGUAUCAGAUAAUAUCUAUCAGUAACAUUUACUGUAUCACAAUCAUCGCACAUAGAAUAAUACACCUGUAGGUUCCAAAUAUCGAAUUAUAAAGGAUCCUGCAUAAGUGCAUCAUUUCUUAGUAUGUCACACACACUGUUAGAGGCGACUUUUUCCAAAGGAUAAUAUGUCUCUCAUUAGAAUUCAAUCUUGUUGACCUUGUCAACAUGAUAUCCUAUGUACGCAGUUUAAGAAAUUUAUUAGAUCUAUCUCUAUAGACCCGUAUUCUUCAGAUGAAAAUAUAUAACUAGAAUUUUCAUCAAGAAGUUCUUGACAAUCAAUAUUAUCAUACUGGUUAAAUUUCUAAAAUAUCAAAUAUUGUUUACGUACAAUACGUAAAUCACAUUUUGUGCUCCCACUAUUUCUCAUGUACACUUUUUGACUCGUCCAUACUUUCGAUGCAUCAAACACUUUGCUUGCAUUUUGAAGUAGACGUCAUAUUUCUGAGAAAAUCGUUUAGAUCCAUUUAUAGUUUGUGAGGAAAUUCUUCCACUGUUCCGAACAGUAGCUUUUCUUAAUAACGUAAAUUAAAGAUAAACUAUGAUAUCUCAUAUCACCAUGUGUAACAAGCAAAAAAAAAAAACAAAUGGAUUAUGAUAUCCACCACAAAUCUAUCACAUGUGUAACAAGCAAAAAAAAAAAACAAAUGGAUUAUGAUAUCCACCACAAAUCUAUCACUGUAUUCGAGACUUUCUCUUUGACCACAACAUUUUGUUAGUAAUGGAGUUUCAAAGGUCUGUACCUUUUAUUUAUACAAAUCUUUAAUUGUAAAGACUGACAAGGUACCUUACCUUAUAGAGAGUCGAUAAUUUAAGAUUCAUAUAACAUCCAUUUGCUUAUAUGCAUCUAUCUUCUCGGAUUGAUAUUUCAUAUCGUUUCUUCACAUCUAAGAUAAUCAUUAUCUCUUUUAGAAAAAUAAUUUCUUCUAAUACCUAAUAAUCAAAUCCAAUUUGAUCUGAAAUUUAGAAAAUAUCUUAGAUCUUAUGUGUGCAAAUAAUUAAUCUAGACUUGACUCACAACUCAAUAGACACUUUGUUGAGCCAUAUAUAUAUAUAUAUAUAGUCCGGCUAUGGUGCUUGUAAAAGCACCAAGCACUUGGUGUUUCUGAGUUUUUUACCGUUAGAUCUACGUCUUUGAUCAUUUUUAUUCGUUAGAUUAUACUAUUCAACCAACCACCCACUCAACCCUAGGGGGCCCAUAUCAUUCUAACGGCACAUCUCUUAAUCUAGGGCAAAAAACUUACAAGCACCAUAUAUAUAUAUAUAUAUAUAUAUAUAUAUAUAUAUAUAUAUAUAUAUAUAUAUAUAUAUAUAUAUAUGUAUAUGUACCUCUAUAUGUAUAUAUACCUCUAUAUACAUGUAUAUGUAUAUAUACCUCUAUAUAUAUGUNAUUUUAAAAUUUUAAAUCUCUAAACUCUAUAAAAUUAAUUAAUUAAUUUUAUUAAAUAAUUCAUUGUAUAUAAUAUAAUUAAUUAAUAUUAUUAAUAAUACACGUAAUAAAUCGCAUAAUAAAAUCUAAUUUGAUCGGUGUAUAAAAAAUAUAUAUAAUUUAAAUUUGAGGAGUAAGAUUUUAAAAAUAUAGGAUGUCUGUAUAUAUAUAAUUAAUUUUAUUAAACAAAUUCUUCCAUUAUUUUAUUUCCCUUCUAUUUAUUUUUUAAAAUUAUUUUGAUAUAUUUGACUCAAAUCUUUUUUCACAUAAAUCUUUAUAAAAUAAGUUGUCGCUUUAAUAAAUUUUAUUUAAAUAAAAUUAACUAAUAAAUUAUUUUUAUAUGACUUUUAUUUAAUUAAUAAUUAGGCUUAUAAAAUUAUUUAAAAAUAUAGAAAACUAAAAUUUAUUAAAAAAUUUUUAUAUCUGCAGUAUCGCACCGAUAUUUCACUAGUUAAAUGUUAUGGGACUCUACUUGUAUGCACGUAUGACAGUAUGAGUUGGGCUUUUGGUCCCAACAAAGAGUUGGGAGAUGAUCCUAGGGUUUCAAUUUUGUCGAUUUUUAAUGCAUAAAUUUUUUAUAAAUAGAUUUGGUAAUUCUUAGUAUGAUUUAAAUUAGAUAUAGGUAUUAAAAAAUGAUAUAGUUUUACUGUAGAAUUUUUUAAAAAAAAUUAGUUAAAUCCAAUCAACCAAAUAAUCUAGAGAUUUGAAUAUUUUGAUGUGACUAAAUUGCACCCAUGGCCCUCAAAAUUUUAAAUGGGUGGCAUUUUGGGCCCUUUUUGAUUUGUUAUAAUUUUCAGCUCAUUUUUAAAAAAAUUUAAAAUGCGGAACGUUUCGUCAGGUAGGUUUAAUGAAGAACUAUUAAAUCAUAUGUACUUCCGUGGUUUAUUUAAUUGUGAUGGAGAUGUCAAAAUGGACUCAUGAAGGUUUUCGUAUUUAUAAAUUGUUUUCAAUAAUGGGAUAUCUGAUUCACCGAUCAGUUAUAUUAUACAUGAUCUAUAGUGUUAGAACUAUCUAAAACCAAAUUUCAGAAUUUUUUUAUGUUGUUUGUCUAUUAAACGACGAAUCUUAAAAUGAACGGCUGAAAAUAAAUAUUCAAUAAAAAACAAUGAUAAAAGAGAAAGUCUAAAUCGAAAGUAUUUAUCUUAGUUUUGAUAGUAAAUAAAAUACUUUUUAAUUAAAAUUUUACCUAAUUUAGAUUAUUCUUAACCGUUGAACUUACAGAUGUAUCGUAUCUAUUAUUAAAAUAGUUGGUCAAUGAUACCAAAAUAUUAUAAUAUAUAAUUUUUAAAUAAUUCUAAUAGUGCAUAUCAUUUUGAAUAGAGCUAAUCAUUAAAUCAAAUAUCUGAUUAUCAAAAAUAAGUUAUAAAUAUAAAUAUGGAGAUCUACAUGAUUUAAAAGUAUGGGGGUAUGUACUCUAAAAAAUAAAUUUAUCCCAAAAUAUAAAAAAAGGAAAAUCCCCUAUCGAGUGAAUAUAUAUAUAUAUAUAUAUAUAUAUAUAUAUAUAUAUAUAUAACAAAAACAAUUUAUAAUAAAUCCCGAGAAAUAAGGGUCAAACUCCCUAUGUUCAUUUCUUACACGGCAUAAAACGUGCGUGUGCGAUUUCUCCGUAAUAAAACCGUUCGAAUCACGGGGUCUCUCUCUCUCUCUCUCUCUCUUUCUCUCUCUCUCGUUACUUAGCUUGCGGAGGUGGAGGAGGUCGUCUUCAUCACGUAGAGCUUCGUCGCGGAGGAAACGGCCUCUUUGGAGCUCCUCUUGAUGCCAUUGUCGCCGCGCAGGGCCGGGGCUUCUAGGGUUAGGGUAUCGGGGGCUUCUUGUUGCUGUUUGGGGACCCGUUGGUGGCGGUAAGCGAGAUGAGAUCCAGGUGGUGGGUUCCCCUGAUCUGGGGGUUGGCCUUUGGUUGCAUUUUCUUGGGUUCUGGGGCUUCGGAUCCUGAGGAAGCUGAGCGCGCGUAAGUAGGAGUUUUAAAGAUUUUGCCUUUUUUUGUUUUUUUUUCUACUACAUGAGUUGAUUUGCUUUCAUGUUUUGCUAUUAGAAGAUGUAAUGUGCUUUGGAGUUGCUCUAACCCUCCUGUUUCAUUUCGUCGAACAUGUAGUGGGUGCUGCGUUAAUUUGAAUAUAGUAGCUUUUAUUCUGUUUCAGGAUGGAUCUUUGUGUAAACUUUAACCCCUGUGUCAUCUUGGUGUAGGGAAAAUAUUAGCUAAAUGAAACAAAGAGGUAGAUUGCUUGGUGCGUAGCUAGCAUAAUGCAGGCAAAAUGUUGAGUUGAUUUCUUGUGGAGACAUACAGUGUAGUUCUCAAUGAUUGAUUUUGUUCCAUUCAAUUGGCUUAUAGAGUGGCACUAUAUAUGUUUCAAUGGUGAUAUCUAUUAGAGAUUUUACUUGAUUUGCGCUAAUAUACUAGAAAGUAGGCAUUUUGAUGUACAGAAGGAAUUGAUGAACUCAGAGCCCCUGUUUACCAUUUUCAUAGAUGUAAAGUAUCUUAGGAGUUCACUGCCCUUUAUUUUGAUACUUGUAAUAACUUCCUUUAGGUUUUUCUUUGUUUAGACACGACUUUUCUUGCAAAGUUGUAAUAUAUAAGAGCUAAAACAAUUUUUAAAGAUGCUCGAAAUUUUGUUCCCUGGUUGGUAUGUUGCCAAAAUUGUUUGAUUGGGAGACAAAAUGAGGAUAGCUCAAAACUAUUCCCUUUUUUCCUGCCAAAUGCAGCAAAAGAGGGUAAGGGAUAGUUGUACUUGUCAAACCAGUUUAUUUUAGGAUUACCAAUAGCUGGUAACUAUUACAUUAGCCAUGUCCUGGGAAAGUGCUAGUCAUACUUUGUUUCUUUCUGUUCAAUGCUUACCGGUGCUAAUAUCUGAAAAUAUGAUACAGCUUCACUUUUACUGUUUACCUUAAAUUACAGGAUGAGCCACGGAAUUUUGUGAGUCAUUGUUGUAUAUAACUUAUGCUAUUAUGUCGAAAAAGUAAAAUGUUUUUACAUUGUUAAACAAGCAUUUAUGGUGAACCUUGAAAUUCAUACAUUCAUAUAGUUUUUCUUGAGAACUUAAAAAUAUGCUUGGAUUUCAUAGGCCUUGUCAUGGGAUUGAUUGUGGUAGUCUUAUAGGUUUCCUAUUGUGGAGCCAGAUCCUGAUCAUACUAAACUGCAUCUUGCAAGAGAAGGUCUAGAGGCAAUUCGAAGAAUCAAAAACCCUAUUGCAGCUGUUGCUGUAAGUUACCUCUUCAAUGUUGACUAUACAUCUCUCAGUUGUACUAUUCACUAUCAUAUCUUUUUGAUGGUAAUUCCUUCUUCAUUUUAGCAUAAAGAAAGAUCACAUUCUUCUAUAGAAAAAGGUCUUUAUGAUCCCUACAUGUACUCAUGCCUCACGCCAAUUCAUUAUAGAGUUUCCUCUGUCAUGAGUAGCUAUACAAAUUCCUUUUGUCUAUAGCUCAUGCACAUACUUCCUUUUUUCACUUUUAUCCACAUUAUUUCGAAGUUGAGCUCCUAGAAUUCUGAUAAUUCUUUUGUUGCACUUCAGCCAAUUUUGUACAGAAUGAUCCUUGCAUUCUUGGUCCAGUUUACUGCCAAAAUUCAUGUUUCUCUAAGCACAAACCAAAUUCAUUUUCCACAGCCUGAAUUGUAGAACCACCUGUGCCUUUAUAUAUACAAUUAAUAGACCUUGUUGUUGUUCUCCUGUAGUUCUUGGAGAUUUUGAGAGCUAAGUUGCAUUAUGUUACAUUUUAUUGGCACUUAGUUUCAGUGAGAAAUUAGAAAACUGAAAUUUGCAUUUCAACUUGUUAAAAUCUCGGGUUUCAUGCUCGGUCUUCAGCAUAACAAUAAUGUUAAUGUUAUUGCCUGCAAACUCAGGUUAUUGGUCCAUACAGAUCAGGAAAAUCCUUUCUUCUCAAUCAACUUCUCUCCUUAUCAUGUGAUAAAGGUACAUAUUAUUUAUGUUUUAUAUUUUUUAGUACUUUUUAAUAAGAAUGCUGUCUGGGGCGAGUUUUAAUUAGUCAAUUUGCAGGUUUUGGUGUUGGACAUAUGCGGGACACGAAAACAAAAGGUUGUUUUGACAUUCAAUGAUAUUCUUUCUGAUGAUUUUAUUUACUGAAUAUUUUCCUUUCUCGGCAAGUUCUAAAAUAUUGGUAUGCAUCUUUUGAAUGCAGGAAUAUGGGUUUGGGGUACUCCAGUCGAAAUGGUUCUUGAUGGUACAAAAGUGUCUGUCGUCUACCUGGACACUGAAGGAUUUGAAAGUGUUGGGAAAUCAAAUGUAUAUGAUGAUAGGUAAGUCUAAUAAAAUAAACUCAUAUAGUGCUGAUUAUCUGGCUUGUUCUUGAGAGUAUGUAAAUUGUAAAAAAAAGUGAUUUUUUGUUUGGGUUCAUUUCAGGAUCUUUGCUCUGGCUACUGUUUUGAGCUCUGUGCUUAUAUACAAUCUCCCUGAGACGGUUUGCUCCUUAUCUGACUCUUUCCCUCUAAUUGGCCCUAAAUAGCAUCUCUCCUCUUUUUCUUUUUUUUUUUUUGGGUUCUAGACUGGAAUUUGGUUUUGCAAGGGACAUAUUUGUCAUUUGCUUAUCUUGUAGAUCCGUGAGGCUGAUAUAUCACGAUUGUCUUUUGCUGUUGAAAUUGCAGAAGAGUUCUACGGAAGGUUUGUUUCUUGAUUCUAAUGGAUUGAAGAUCUCAUUAUAAGUUUGUUGAUAAUUCUAUUCUAACAAUAUUUUUUGUUGUUUUUGUUUUAUUAUCUCUUGGUGAAUAGGGUGAAGGUAACAUACUAAAACUCAGUUGGAUGGUAGAAGAAAAUCCUACAAGUUAUGUGUUUGAAACUAUUGGAAAUAUCUGCAGGGGCAAGACAAUGCAUUUGAACCUGCUAAGCUCUUGUGGCUUAUCCAGCGUGACUUCCUACGUAAGUUGAUUCUUUUCUUCUUCAGAUUUUCUCAUUUGUAGAGACGAUAUAUGAGGAUAUUAUUUGUUUGAUAUCGCUAAAGGAGAGGUUUUUAGUGGCCAUUCGAUUCUGUAGCUUAACAGAAUAUUUUGUGUUGAGAUGGAAUAUUGUGGAACUUUUUUGAUAGAGAAAGUAUUAAACAUGAUUAAAAUUGAACAACAUGUUAGUUGGGGUGUUUAAUUAAAAUAAUUGAAGUUUAGGGAUAUUUGUCAACAUAACAUAUAGUUGAGAUUGUCUAUUAAUUUUGUGGUAUAUAGUUUUAUAAUUUUAUGGCCACUUCUUGGGUAACCUUUUGGGCGGGGAUUUUUUCUAAAUAAGCCCAAUUAUUUUUCAUUUGCUUUUAAUCGGCAAAAAACAUAGUUGAAUUUGGUAGGAGAUAUGCUGUAGCUAUAUGUAAUAUAAAGUGGAAACAUAGUUGAAUAUGGUAGGAGAUAUGCUAUAGCUAUAUGUAAUAUUAAAUGGAUGACUUGGCCAAUACCUCUAAACAACCAAUUUAAAGUAAACAGUAGUUAGUUAAACACAAUAUUUCUCUCUCUUUCUGUUGUGCUUUUUACUGGGUUGCAUCGAGCAUAUUGCUACUAGGAUAACUUUGUUUGGCUGAUAACCUCUAAACAACCAAUUUAAAGUAAACAGUAGUUAAUUAAACACAAUAUUUCUCUCUUUCUGUUGUGCUUUUUACUGGGUUGCAUCGAGCAUAUUGCUACUAGGAUAACUUUGUUUGGAAAUGGGAUUUCUUGGCUUAUUUGUUGAGUGUGUAGAUGAAUUUUGAUUGAUCUCAGGAACAAGAUCCAUGAUCUAUUAGUUUUAUUGAGGUUCAGUUCAAGAUGCUGAAGUAGUGAGCUGUUUCUGUUUCAAACAUUGUCUUUUUCUUAUAAUAAUAAUUAUUAAAGUGGCCCAUGUUGUCUCAUAAAUUUUCCUUUUAGUUGGCGUGACACCUCAUGUUGUUAUGUUUGUAUGCUCACUUGGUGUAAUCUAACUUUGGUGCUUCAGAGGGGAAGUCUGUGCAAGAAAUGGUGAAUGAAGCUCUUCAGAGGGUCCCUAAUCGCAAUGGUUAGCUUUUGUUAUCUUUGUGCUCUAUAAUACUUAUUUCGCAAGGAGCCACAGAAGUAUAUAAUUUCGUUUUCAUUUGUUAUUUCAGGGGACAAAUACAUUGAUCAGGUAUCAUUUUAAAUGCUUGACUGGAGGAUAUCAACAAUUACAUUAUUUUUCUUUGUAUUUGUCAAAUGAAUUUUUUGUUUGUUUUUUCUUAUGAAUAGGUCAACCAAAUAAGAGACUCUUUGGCAAUUAUGGGUGAUAAUAGCACAGCUUUUAGCUUGCCCCAGGUGCUCUUUUGAUGCUCCUUUUAAUGCUAUUGUUCUUUUGUCUUCACUCCCAAUUUUUUAUAUCAUUGCUAAACAUUAGUUAUCAAUGAACUUUAUUAUUGAUUGACAUAACACAAAGGCCUCGUAACUUGCUUGUAUCCAUGUAUUAUUCAAAAUGGUACGAAGACGUAGUUGUUGUUCACGUUGUGUAGCAAAGCUUAGUACACUAUAAUUAUAUUAUGUUGCUCCCAAGACUUGCUCCUUCCGGACAUUUUUAAAAUGGUUGGCAUAUCAAAUGACAGGUUAGUGGACUUCGUGUUUUUAUUAAUUGUUUCCUGCAUUUAUGUAUGCUGCAUGGUUACAAGUAUAUGAUUUGUGUCAUCUCUAUCUACGUUCGCCAUACAUACAUAACUUCUGUUUUAUAUAGCCAGUGGAUCCUCAUGGAAGUUAUUAAUAUUUUGGCAGCCUCAUCUUCAAAGAACGAAGCUUUGUGAUAUGAAGGACAGUGAACUUGACCCCCUCUAUGUAGACAAAAGGGAACAGUUGAAAAAACUAGUUGCAUCCAUUACACAUCCAAAAAUUGUGCAGGGAAAAACUCUUAAUGGGGAGGAGUUUGUUACAUUUCUAGAGCAGGUGAGUUCUGUUGCAAUAUGUUAAGGUAUUGUUUAUAAUUGGUAUAAUCGGUACGAUAUAGUUAUUGACAUAUAAAUAGAUAACCCCUGUAAAAUUAUUUAUUUGCAUACAUACUCUUGCAAAAUCUGAAUUUUCAUACAUGCCCUUCAAAAUUUUAAUUUCUUCCAUACAUAUAUACUCUUGCACUUAACAAAAGUUCCCCUCUUUAAGGUAUUUCCUAAAAGAAACCAACUUCCACGCAUGAAUUGGAUGAUUCCCAACUUAAAUAAGUCCAUUUUGAAAGGAAACUCCAUUUUAAAAGGGUUUGCGUGAAAAAUUAGUUUUUACGGUAGCAUUUGGUUCGGGUAUAAGCAAGAACUAGCUAUUACAGGGAUAGGUACAAGUAUGGGGAUAAGAAAAAUAGUGUUUGGAUGAAAAUUGGGUUGUUCCCGGGGAUAAGAAAAAUAGCGUUUGGAUAGAUAAUAUGGAAUAAGAAAAAUAGUGAGUAGUUUUAUAUAGGAAAUGGAGGUAUUGGUGGGGAUAGUUAUACCCGGUUAUUAUAGAUAACCGAGAACUACUAUUCUCGGGUAAAAAAUUAGCGUUUGGAUAUAAAGGGGGGAUAAGGGGUUAUCCCUAUCCCUAUCCCCUUAUCCAAACGGUGCCCCCGGAAUAUAUAUGUAGAGGGUUAUCCCUAUCCCUAUCCCCUCAUCCAAACGGUGCCGGGAAUAUAUAUGUAGAUAGAUGAUUUGAAGCAAAAUUUACGUAAUAGUCCCUUACAGAAAUGCAUUCCAUAUUAGAGGAUACCCCAAAGUUAUUAUUGUUGCCCUAUAUUGUUACAGAUUCUUGAAGCCUUGAACAAAGGAGAAAUUCCAUCAACAGGUUCUCUAGUGGAAAUUUUCAAUAAGGUGAUUCUGGAACGUUGCUUGAAGGUGUAUAAUGAGAGAAUGGGCAGUUUGGGCCUACCUGUACCAGAGAACAAACUGCAACUGGUUCAUGACGAGUCGAAAAUUGAGGUGAGAAAACUUUUUGAUGAACAGCACUUUGGUCGCCAUCACGCUGCGCAAUCCAUCCUUAAACUUGAGGAGGAGAUUCAAAAGGUACGAUCUAUAACAUAGUUGAAAAGCAUAAAAUAUAAGUGAAUGAACUCGUUUGCAUGGGUGUGAAAGUUAUAGGUCUUGCAUUUGUAUACCUACGUUUGUGCCCGUUUGGCCUGGCUUCUGGAGUUUCCCUGCUCUCAAAAACAGCAGCAAGCUGUUUGGCAUACAUAAAGGACUCUGUUUGUAAGCUUAAAUGAGCUUCUCCAUACCAAAAGCAGAAGCUUUAAUUUGAAAGCUUUCUUUUUGCUGCAGCAUGAAGCUGCUAAAAAGUAUUCAGUGCUUCCAAUUUGAAGUUCUGCUUAUGUUGCAACAUGAAGCUGAUAAAAAAGUUGUCAAUGCUUCUUUGAACAAGCGUGCUCAAACUGCAAGUGCUCCAGCGGCCAUGCCAUAUGAUUAGCCUUAUAUCUAUUUGCGACAGCUAGAACCAGAAGGGUCACAUUGGGGUUUUUGCUUUUGACAUUCAAGGCUUGUUUCACCUUCCUGCCUUAGCUGGAAACUCCACAAUUUUUGUUUAUCAAAUAUGUAGCUUCUAUUUCUAAAUUAGAAAAUCUCCUCUAAAAGCUGGGCUUGAUAAGCACAUUGUCUUCCUACGAAAUCGUCUAUCAAAUCAACAAUGCUUCAAGUUGGAAGAUUUUGUACUGAACAAACUGCAGCAUAUGAUUUUUGUAUUCACUUUAUCCAUUCUCUUCUUUGCGAGUCAUAUCUGGUUAACAAAUCAUCACCACAUACAGGUUUACAGGAAUUUCCUUCUUGCGAAUGAGUACCAGUCAUCAAAAUUGUGUGAAGCACGGUAUACACAGUGCGAGGACAAAAUGGAUCAGCUUCAAGUGCUGAGACUUCCUUCCAUGGCAAAAUUCAAUGCUGGCUUUCUCCAAUGCAACCAAAGUUUUGAAAAAGAGUGUGUUGGACCUUCGAAGGAAGCGUAUGAGCGACGGAUGACAAAGGUUAGGCUUUCUAAACCUUACUUACAUUUUUCUCAGUUUAUAUGCCCAUUAUCUGGUUUGCUGUUUUUUUCCCCAUGACUCAGAAACUAAAGAAACUAAGAAUUAUAAUGCAAAAUUGCGGAUUCUGGACAAAUUUGGUAACUUACUGACUUUUUUUAAAAAACCAAUAUUCUUUAUGUGAAACUGUAUACCUCAUCUUGUCCCACAGAUUUAGCAUCCAUAUGUGUCAGCACCAGAUUUAUGAUAUGAAUGCUCUAUUGAGGAUUUAUUCUUUUAACUACUUGUGCCUGAGCCAUGCCCGAAUCCUUUCUUUAGUUAGAUAUUAUCAUACUGAUAUCCUUCUCAUGAGCUGCAUUUAAAUUUGAAUUCUAUAUUUUGCUUUCAGAUGCUCGCAAAGUCUCGUGCUCUUUUCAUCAAGGACUACAACAACCGGCUUUUCAACUGGUUGGUGACUUUUGCGCUCGUUAUGGUCGUCGUCGGCCGCUUUAUAAUCAAGUUCUUUUUGCUUGAAAUCGGGGCAUGGGUGAUGUUCAUCUUCUUGGAGACAUACACAAGAAUGUUCUGGUCGGCGGAAUCACUAUAUUACAAUCCCGCUUGGCAUAUCAUAGUGGCUACUUGGGAAACUAUUGUUUACAGCCCUUUACUCGAUUUGGACCGGUAAGUUCAUCGUUUUUUUUUUUUUUCCCACUCAUUUUAUUCUACUUAAAACACUUAAUAUAAACUCGACUUGGUUGUAUUGAACUUGGCACAGAUGGGCAUUCCCAAUUGGCGCGUUGUUAUUGGUUUCGCUUCUAUAUUGGCGGUGUUAUGGGAGGAGGAAAGGAGGUUCUCGUUCCCUACUACCUUUGUACACUAAUACAUACAAAAGUGGAUCGAACCGUCCACGAUCAGAUUGAUGAUAGAAUUUAUUUAUCCGUCAUUAAAGAUUCCUUGAGGACAAGUAUUUCGAGUCGUUCGUCAACCUUAUUGGGCGGGCCUUGUUUUUUUUUUGCCGGCGCCCCGCCAAUGAACUUCCUCUUCUUUUCUAGCCAUUUGGUUUUGGUGGUGAAGAGGUCCGAAAGUUUCGAGCAUUUGAUGCAGGAUCCAAGCAUUUCUUGUUUCUUGUGUAACAUUAUAUCUGAGCGUCCAUCUUUUUCUUUAUAGAUCAGUGUUUAUUAUUUACACCCAUUUUUUAAAAUUAUUGCUGUUUAACACAAACAAGUGGAUAACAUUAACCCAGGCGUAUGUUGAUCUCGUGUUUUUGUGAGUUAAUGCAGUAUCCCCUAUCCUCCAUUCUGAGUGGUGGAACCGUGUCCUGUUUCUCGUUUUCUUUUUUUUUUGAAACUACACUGAAAUGCAUUGCCUAUUCAACCCCAUUUUAUUCAACUCCAUUUCGUAGGGAAUAGUUCAGACGCAUUGGAUACUAGUUUUUUCUAUCUGUGAAUCUUUCGUGUACUUCAUUAAUUAGCGAGAUAUUCGAGUAGAGGGGUUUAAAAAUCAGUCUAAUGCAGUGAUUCUUAUCCUCGUGCAGUUCGAAUCCCUAGUCUACAAGCAAUGCUAUAAAACGCGGGGGAGAAAAUAAAAAACUCAAAUUAGUUUUGAGAUGCUGUACUCAUAGACGAGACGAGACGAGCCUUUUCUCUCUCAGACAAGUUCUUCAUACUUGAUAUAGGAAUAUUUAAACGGUUGAACUUCUAACCAAAAUAACAGCUAUCGCAGUCAAAAUAGAUAACAACAAGAUCUUCAUUGGGAAGGGCAAAACUUGACGACGUCAUUUUGUUAGCGACGCAAUUUUAGUUUUGGUAACAAGAAAGGGCAAUUUUGGAUAGUUUAGUACACGACGAGAGUGGAACUCUAUUUUUUACUUGUUCGGUCUAGCAAAAGGAUCUUUCUAUCACUUUUCUACUAGGGAUGUCAGUGAGUACUGGUAUCCGAAAUUUUAUUCAAAUCUAAAUCCGAACGGAGCUGAUUUAUUUAAUACUGAACAAAUAUAAUUUCAAAUAUAGAUAUCAAAAAUAAAAAUCCAACAUAUAUUUAAUUUGAAUGUAAAUUUUAACUAUACCCGAACCCAAACUCGAGCUCGACCCGAACCCAAAUUUAUUAUACAUUAUAUAUACUAUGCAUAUAAAAAUUUAAUGUUAUAUUUAAAUUUAUUUUUUAAAAUUUUAAAUUGAAUAUAAUAUAUUUUGAGAUAUUGAAAAGAGAAUUGUUUGGGAUUUGAAUUUUUGGUUGGAUUCGGAUUUGAAUAUGAUUUUUUAAAAUCCAUCAGGUUCGAGUUUUGGGUUUGGAGUCGGUUUCAGGUUCAGAUUUUUGAAAGAUUUUUGAAAAUCUACCCCGAAUCCGACCGGUUGACAUCCCUAGUUUCUACUCACAGAAAACUGAAGACUAUGAUGCAUUUCAAAAGAAAAUUGAUCUUCCCAGAGUAAUAUCCAAAGUAUGUAUGUUGUUAUCUAACUAUGCUUGAAUCCUUUUACUCUGACGAUUACACGGAACGGUUCUCUUUUGAAAGAGUGUCUACUCGUAAAACUGAGCCUGUUCUAGUGCCGACUUCAGGCCAAUAUUUUCUCCUACUUCGCUCCAUCUAUUUAUUACCGUUCACCUUGAAAAAAAAAAAAAAAAGAAAAAAAAAAAGAAGAAGAAGCAGCAGCAAUACUGCCGUUAUGAUACCAGCACAUGCAACAGAGAGAAACUCAUAUAAUAUUACAAGCAGCUCCUCGAAAGCAGAUACUCCUAUAAAAGCAAACAUUCGGGCGAACUUGUACCGUCAGCAGAUUCGUCGAGCAUAGCGAUAACCAGCACACGCACGCCCAUGAAUGUUCUCGCCGACAUCCAUUUUCAUCAAUAGGCUAGACGAGUCUGCAAACCUCUAGGCGCUUCUGAUACAAGAAGAGCAUGUAAAAGUUUAUUGAUAGAUAGAUCACCAGCGAAAACGUAGCCCCGCUUACUGACGGUUGUUUUUGCGAGCUAUCUCCCGAGCCAUUUCGCGAAGUUCUUCCGGUGAUGGAGGGCGAGGACCCUCGGGAGGGUAAACCACGUAAGGACGCUGCCAAGGAGGAUCAGUGAUCAUGCCCAUAAGUCAAAGAGCUGAACUCUCCGUUUAAGUUGAAUUAAUAGCGAGACAAGGAGGAUUUCAGUGAAAACAGAAAGAUGAAAAUGUUUACUGUAAAGAAAGAAGUCAAAUAGAAGUUAUCGAGCACAAGAACGACCUAUGAUUCUGAAAAGCCUACAGCUCAGGUUAAGAACAACUUAAAAUGAAAUGUAAAAUUUGAAAUUUGGGUGAGUAGGAAAAGAAAAUAAUAAUAUCAUCGAGUCCGUGUGACAAUUUUCCACAGAAUGCAAGCAAUAAGUUGGUCAUGACCCUGUUGCACCAACCUCUGGUUAGAAGUGACUCCAAAGAAAUUUGCUUAAUCUCAGUCCCAAAAAGGGUAUUCGCAUCAUAAAUUCGUUAGUGUAGUAGAGUGGAGUGAACAUAGAAACUAGUUAAAAAACUUGGCAUACACUUUAGGCAGAGUUAUACACUGGAACAGCAAACAAACAAGUAAAUGACAAAUGGGGUAAUUUCUUUAAUCUGCCUUUUACUUAUAUGUAGAGGAGAGUUACGAUGAAACGUUCUAAUUGGUGUCGGUAUCUUGACAUGGCUCUGCAAAUGAGAAAAUGUAAUAAUGCCAUUAUAGAUGUUUACUUCAAUGAAAUUACUAAAAUCCACCAAAUUGAAUAUAGAUCGAGAGUAUAUGCCUUAUCUUCUAUCUAUCAAGUACUACAGAAGAAACAAUGUGUAAAUCGCACAAUAAGGCCUUCGGUCUGGGUUUGCACUUCUCAAAGCACCUAUUUUUAUGCUUUCGAAGGCCCAAAAAGGCAAAAGCGCUUACAAUUUUUCCUCCAAUCCUAUAAAAUUGCAAUGGAAACCAACACCGGAGAAGCAUGUAACCACAUGAUUUGCGCACUCUGGUCUAGUUUGAAAGAGUUCCAGUGAAGAUUCACAAAAGAAUUCACCCAUUAGAAAGAGCUGUAAAUUCCAUUAAUUCAUGCAGUGGCUGCCUUGUUACCCUAUUUUCAAAAAAUGAACUAACUAAUUUGUUAAAGCAACCAACCAAAUGACACUAUGGGGGUUCAAAAUGAGGAUCGGAAUGGCGAAAACACAGUAAGCUUCGCAUAGGCCUCUACUAGUUAUGUUCUUCAUUGAUACCUUCUCAAAGCCCUAGAUCUUCACAGCAUAUCCUCAGAUUACUCAAUUCGUACACUCCCUUUGCAGAGUAAAUAGGUGCUUAAUAGAAUCACAUACGAGUAAACUCAAAUCUCAAGAACACAAUCGACCCAAACCUCAUAAACCCUAAGCCAGUUUACUGGAAAAUUCCCCAAAAUUCGAGACGAAUCGCCAUAAAAGUAACAACAUUUAGGGCUUGUUUGGUUCAUCCAUUUUGGGUAUGGAAUGGAAAUCGGUUUGAUCAAAUUCGGUUAAUUUUGUUUGGUUCGCAUAAAUCGGUUUGGGAUUCCUAUUCCGGACUGGAAUGGGAAUGGCCCAUUAGCCUUCAACUUGAUUCCGGUCUUCUAGCCUGGAUUGAAAUUUUAUUCCGAGAGCCCACUAGAUUCUCGAAGCCCAUGUGACCAUCUCACCCUCCUUCUCUUCACCCCUUUCUCAUCAAAAAAAAAAAAACCUAUCAUCUCUCAAAACCCUAUUCCUAACCCACAUCAAUAAAAAUUUUUAAAAAUAAAUUUGAUAUUUUUUUUGGAAAACUUAUUAGAGAAUAAUAUUAUAUUUUUCAUAAAUUUUAAAUAAUAUAAAUUUAUAUUUGAGAGUAAAAUUAGUAUUAUAGUAUCCUAUAAUUUUUUUAGUUUAUACGAACCAAACAAUGAAAUGUAAAUAACUCAUUCCAAUUCCCAAUCCACAAAUAAACCAAACGUCUUGGGGGAGUGGGCCAUUCCAAUUACCAUUCCAAUUCAUUUUCAUUCCAUUAUCCAUUUCAAUUCCACCCUUGAACCAAACAAGCCCUUAGGGUUUCAU